RNAcentral lists this long non-coding RNA (73549 nucleotides) under Ananas comosus (pineapple). RNAcentral describes it as "long non-coding RNA (ACOM_LNC011721)". The record is from RNAcentral. Lineage: Eukaryota; Viridiplantae; Streptophyta; Magnoliopsida; Poales; Bromeliaceae.
UUCAGUUGUUACCCCUGUUUUGCAGAGCCGUCGCCUUCGACUACUGCUGCUGCUGAUUUGGAUCAUGGCAAGGGCAUCGCGAGUUAGAGCCCUCCCAGACGAGCCAGAGCUAGAGGAGCACCUACUGCAGGUAGUUGUAUUUUGGUUUGAUUUCAUGUACAUACAGAUGCUUAACUUGCCAGUGCGAGUAGUUUUGUACCUUGGAUGUAAUGUAUGUAUAUGAAACUCGGUUAUUAGUUAUUUUAGUUUUUUCUAGCAGCUCUAUACUAUUGGCGAUAGUGUGUAUGUUACUGGUACUGUUCAGCUUCGCUUCGUAUAUAGAAAAAAUUUCUUUGUAUACGGCGGAUUUGUCGACGUGCCUGGAAAAAAAAGUAAUCCAGGGCGUGACAAAAUGACUUCACCUCUCUCCACUUUUACCCAAACCAACAGGCUUUAAAAGCUGUAGAACGUUUAACUGAGUUUAGAAAGAAAGUGAUUUUUCUGAAGUAAUUUGGUAAAGCUUUUUAACAAAAAAAAAAUUAAUAUUUGCAAAUAAUAAUUUUUUUACUAAAUUUUAUUUUGAAAUAAUUUAAAUUUAAAUUUUAAAAUUGAAUUUAAAAUUAAAAUUUUAAAUUUUAAAUUUUAUUUUGCUCACAAAUUUAAAAUUUGCUAUUUUAAGUUAAAAUAUAUAUUUGAAAUUUGAAAAUUUAAAAUUUAAAAUUUAAAAUUAGAAUUUUUAAAUCUAAAUUUAAAAUUUCAAUUUAAAAUUUAAAAUUUAGAGUUUGAAAUUUAAAAAUUUAAAAUUUAAAAUUUGAAGCGACCAACUAUGCUGCUUCAUGAGUGGUGCUUCCAAUAUUUUAAUUUUUGGAUCAACUCCUUUUAUCAUUUUUAGACCUUGAAUUAUUACUAUUAUUCUAGGGGGACUACUAAACCUUGGCGCUAUUUUCGGUAUUUGAGAAUAGUAGUUCUUCUAUCUCUGAAAUAAGCUGGUAUAAUCAGGUAUAAUCUUGGAACAAAGGCUCCACCCUACCCCCGGAACAAGCAUGUUCCUAAGUGGGAACAAAGUUAAUUAAAGUCUAAUUUAACUUUAAUUAUGAUAUUAAAUUAUUAAUUAAUCUAAUUAAUAUAUUUAAGUCGUUAUAUAUUACUUAAUAGUAAAAUAAUUAAUUUAUUAUUUAUAAUUAAUUAACUAAUUAAAAAUUAAUGUUUUAAUCAAUUUAUUCAAUAACCCAUAUUUGUAUUGAUCAACCAUUAUUAUUUUGACUAAUCUAUUUAAUUUUUGACUAAUUAUCUAACUAAAAUAAUUUCUAACUAAUUAAAAAGUUAAAUAAUUAACUAAUAAUUAUUUUUAUUCAUUUAUCAAUUUAUUAUAAUAUUCAUAGCUAAUAAUUUAUUAAUUUAGUGAAUUAUUUUUAAUUAAUAUUUGAUGUUAAUUAAUAAAUAAAAUAUUUUUAAUUUAAAAUUAUAACUCUUAUUCUCUUGUUCCAAUCUAACCAUCCAAACAUCAUUUAUUUUAUUCCCAGGAAUAACUCAAUUUUCAACCAAACACAAAAUUGGUCUAAUUCCUACUUAUACCUCAAAUAAAAUAAAAUAUUUGUAAUUUAAAAUUAUAGCUCUUAUUCCUCCUGUUCCAAUCUAACCAUCCAAAUCUAUUUAUCUUAUUCUUAGAAACAAUCCAAUUUUCAUUGAAACGCAAAAUUGGUCUAGCUCCUGUCUAUACCUCAACUUGUACCUAUCCAUGAAUAAACAGUUCUUACUUAUAUUCAAACCAAACGUAGUCCUAAGGAUCACUAUUAUUCCAACCCUACAAUUCUUAAUUCAAGGACGAGAAAGCCGGAAGCACCAACUCUUUUAUGUUUCUUAAAUAUAGCAGCUCUACACAAAUUAGAGUAUUUAAUAUUUAAAAUUUAACAUUAAAAAUUUAAAUUAAAAAACUAAAAUUUUAAAUAUUAAAUUUGAAUAUUAAAAAUCUAAAACUUAAAAUUCAAAAUUCAAAAUUAAAAUUAAAAAUUUGAAAUUUGUAAUUUAAAAUUCAAAAUUAAAAUUAAAAAUUUGAAAUUUGUAAUUUAAAAAUUAAAACUUAUAAUUUAAAAUUUUAAAUUUUAAAUUCUAAAAUAUUAAAAUUUAGAUCAAUUUUUAAAUUUUUAAAAUUUAAAAUUUGAUAUUUGAAUUUUAAAUUUGAAUUUUAAAUUUUAAAUUUAAAAAUUGAAAUUUAAUAUCUAAAUUUUAAAAUUUGAAAUUUAGAAGUUAAAAUUUUAAAAUUUAAAAUUCAAAUAUAAAAUUUUAAAAUUUAAAAUUAAAAAUUGAAUAUAAAUUUAAAAUCUGAAUCUAAAUUCAAAAUAAAAAUUUAAAUUUGAGUGCAAAAUCAAAAUCAGAUUCCAAGAAGUAGAUAUUAGCUGUUUCUAAUUUUAAGCCUUGAAAAUCAGAAAAUUGAUUUUAAAAAUCAGAAUCAGAUUUUAGAAACGAAGUUGUAAAACACUAUAUUGAGCCAAAAAUUAUUUUUGAGCUCAAAAUCACAUUUCUUUUUUUUCUUUUUUUUUUUGUUUGAGAGAUAGGUAGCACGUUACCCGCUUCGUUUAUUUCAUUUAGAAAUAAACUUAGCUGGAAAUGUAAAUCAACUAGGAUUCGAAUUUGGGUCUCGGGUACCAACCACCAAGUCCUUUGCCACUUGCUCUAGAGAUGGUUGGCAGCUCAAAAUCACAUUUCAAAAGCUAGACCAAACACCCACAUAUUCUAUGAACUAGAUUCUGAUCUUAGAGCUUCUAUGAUAAGAUUCUAGAAUUGCGGUGCGCGGUGCACCAAAUGCACGCAAUAAUUAGCCAAUGUCUUUUCUUUUCCCAUGGACAAAGUGGACUGGGUUCAUGCCCUAAUUUUCUCAAUCCAGGGUUCUGGAACUGUGGAUGGACCACCACGCAGGGAUUUUCUGUUGAGGAGGACAUUUUCUCCCUGUGGUCCCAUGCUCCAGCUGCACAAUUUUGAAUACCCAUUCAACUAAUUGCUUGUCCAAUGUUUUCUCUGAACACCUGCAACUAUCUUAAAUUGCAUAUUAAACCGCGUAGGACGUUCUGAAUCACGCACCAUGUGUGUUUGCUCCCGCAGUCUCUCGUUCCUAUUAAGCGCAUUAAAGUGCAUAUAUAUAAUUUCCUUUUUCUUUCUCCUCCUCUUUUUCUUCGUCAAUAUUUGAACCAAGGUUUGUACCUACAAAAUUAUUUUAAAUGAUUUUAGGGUAAACUUUUGUACACGCUAUUCCCAAGUCAUGGUUUCUAGAAAUAACCACCUUAGAUAUGAACCCGAAAAAAGUUUGAAGACCAUACGGUUUUUGCGCAAUUUUACACAUCCUUGCAGAUUCAUACAUCACAAGUAGCAUAUUCUGGCAUCUAAGCAACCCCAACCUGGAUACAUGCCAGUUAAGAUGUGAUCUGGAUGUGGUCCAGGAAAUCUCUAUUUAGUAUCUCUUGUUUCUCAUGGCCCAUUUUUCCGCUGGUCGAUGAGCGCCGUAAACGAAUAUCCACAACUGCAAUGCGAAUAGGAAACUCUCAUCCAACACAAGCGAUUACCGCAUGUACAUUGUUCGAACAACCAAAAAAGCCCCAAAACAAAGAUUCUCAGAGACUUUUUAACCGUCGACUUCGUCGAAAUCUGUUAGUCUUAUAAGAACAAGACCAGAAAGAUCACAAUGGAUGCUUACACAGUGAUUGCUGCAAGGCUUUUAAUUUCAAGAGACGAUUUUUACAUUGAAGAGAAACAAUAUGAUACAAAAUCGAUAUCAUCCACAACCUCAUGAGACCAAUCGAUCGACCACAAAAUUGUGAAGUAAAAGAUAGGCAAUAGAAGAGUAUAGUGCGGAUUGAUCGUUCACGCACGUACUCGCUACAAGUUUAAAUGAGAGAAGAGGGAAGGAACCAAGUCGACCACCGACCACGCGAGGCCCGCAUACUGUAGGAACCGUAUACCGGUAUCGACGUCAUACGCCUUUUGAGGUAAGAAGGACACGACUUUUUGGAGAUAGCCCGCCUGCUUGAACUCGGACUUGUUCUUGCCGUUAUCGGAGACUUUAAGUGCGGGAAUGUAGCACGAAGAUACUAUGGGGAUGCCCAAAGUAUUGCACAUCACUGGGAGCAACCAUUUUGCUAUUGCCUUGCUGCAGAACUUGACGAUUAGUAUUGUCGGGAUGCCGACAAGAACCCUUGCGAUAAAAACUGGAAACGUUAGUUCGGGUGUGAAGAUGUGGGGGACACCCUCGUGGUGGAAAUGGAGGUAAGUUUGUUGAAUCCCACUGACCUGGAAGGAGAAGACAACAGUUGUUAGAGUCUCUCUCUGGCCUAAACUAUUUCCAGUCAGUGCGUAAGAUAAUGUUUGAAGUAAGAAAAAUCACUCAUCAGACAUAAAGAAGGAAAAAAAAAAAAAAAAAAUCUACCCCAAAUAACUGACGAUACUCAUCAGAGGAAAUGGGCUGUACGUAGAAUUUGAUUAAAGAAUUUCAGAUUAUAUCAGAACCAGUGAUGUGACUGCAAGUGCUUUCAAUAGAAUUUUGCACUGCAAACUUGUUUAACAUGCCAAGUUUGUUAAUAAAUUUGCAUGGACUCUGCGAAGUCAAAUGCAAAUACAUGCAUUCACUGAUAGUUACCCAGUUAAUCUAUUCUUAAGUGGCCGAAAAUUAGAAAAAAGAAAAAGAUGCAAACUUUGCUAGUAAUUACAUCAUAUCAUGCCACAGGUUAUGUCAACAAAGGCCUAGUUUUGAAGUGCUUCCUCCUAAGGUGGUGUAGUAAUGCUGUAAAGUUACUUUAACAAAAAAAAAAAAAAUUCUGAAAACGCACUAGAUUUCUAGCAUAAAACAGUGUGGCACUUCGCCUAUAAUUGUACUUCAAAUUCAUCACACGUCUUAUUAACCAACAAUCCUAAGCAUUAUAAUUUGUCGAUACGUUGUGAUAGAUGUUUGGAACAAGAAGCAACGGAAAGCAAAUGGCUUCCCGGUAAAGUGAUAAUAUCAUCCUUUUCCUCGAAGUGAAAAUAUUUCUAAAAUGAAAAGAUGGAGGAGGGACUGAGCUUACUAUUCCAAAUGCAACACCAUUAAAUGCAGUGUGGUACUCGAAGCUCGGAGUCCGGAAUUCUGGAGUAGGAUAUGCGAAGCACAACAGGAAAGAUAGACUUGCCCAGAAGGAAGUAACUGUGAAAUAGGGAGGGGAAAAAAAACCUGAGAAUGAUGCCAUGCUAAGAGGAAAAGAUAGUCUUCAAAUUCAUCAACAAGACGCAAGACAUGAACUAACGCAUACAUAAAACACAGUGAGGAGAUCAUGAUGGAAGUUUCGAUGUACAAACAUACCAUUUUGCCCGGAUAUGAUGAAGUUAUCUACAUAAUCAUGGACAGCAAGCCAAAAGGCGAGGAUGACAAGCCCAAAAACAAUUCCCGCCGCAACAUCGAUCAAGCUAUGCAUGCCCAAAUAUAUCCUUCCUAUAGAAAAGAAGGCAACGGUUUCGUUAAUACAGAAAAGCACGAUAAACCAAUCGUAUUUCUAAAAUUCGCUUGUCCACUUAUCGUUCAAUUCCUCGCUCUUUUCUAUGGUGAUCACAAAUACGAUCGCCAUACAGAUAUAUCGAGAAAUCGUCACAAACAGACUUAACAAAUGAAAGAAACUUUAAAGCUCACCGAUGCCAAUGAGGAUAACGAGCAAGAAAACUAGAGAGAACCCGGCAACAACAGCGACGGUAUCGUUUUGAGGGCUAUUUGUUAGAAUAUAAUGCAAGAGAUAUCUGCAUGAAAUAGCACCAAUAAAAUUAACAUUAAACAAGAAAACUCCACAUUAAAGUUGCAGGGAAAGAAACGAAUCAAAGAAGGAAGAAUAAAUACCCCGAGAGGCAAACGGUGUUGAGAGCAUGCGAAGAAGGCAACCCGUAUUCCGUAGCAUUCUCUUUCUCGUCUUUUGUAGCGGUCACCCUUCUCACCGGAGGACAACUCGGCCGGGGCGCCGAUAUGACAUCCUUUAUCGAUAACAAGAACCAUUCAUUUCAUUUUCAUUGGAUUGAAUAAAUGGAAAGUAAAGUGGCCUCCGAGAAGCAAACAUGAUCUACCUUGACGGAGUUCCCGGUGUAAUCACAAAAGGCCAUCAACAAGGUCAUCUGUCUAGCCAAUUUGCUAUGCCCACUCUACAAAAUUUUCGACAAAUAGCGGAACCCAUUAAAGUUCUUUAUUAUUAUCCCAUAAAUAACACGAAAAAGGAGAGAUCAAAUUGGAACAAGAUGUACCCAAAACAGAAGAGGGAGGAACCCUGUGUAGAAGGGCACUGAGACAACACAAGACAACACAGAGAACAUGUUGUCCAAGUACCUAUGGUGACAUCUCUGCAACAAAUUCUCAAAUUUCACCCUAAAAUCGUCGAAAAAAUGGAAAUUUGUAACUGCUACACCAAUUAAAAUGUAAAAUUUUCAUUCUCACCUGGAGUCGGAGGAUCGAAGGGGUGUCGGCGACGACGCGGCGGGUGACCCACGGCUGCGUGAGGGCUCUGAACCGCCGCGUGAGAUCGAAAGAAGCGGAAGCGCCCACCCAUCCAACGAUCGCCGAGAGGCUCAGCGCUUGCCAAAACGAGAUCCCACCCUCCAUUCCCUCAACACCCACUCCCCCCAACCCCCUUGAACAAAUCUACACAAAACACACAAAAAGCUCCCACCUUUUCAACCGGGGAGAGGAGAAACAAACAAUUCUGGGUUGUGGCUCUGCUUUGGUUUGAUUCCACAAUCUCCUAAUGUUUGAUCAAAUACCCACUUCCCCACUUCAACAAAUCAACACAAAACACACAAAAAGCUCCCACCUUUUUCUUCUGAUCAAAUACCCACCUCUCCCUCCGAAGAGAUCUACACCAAAAAAAUAAAAAAAUAAAAAAACACAAAAAGCUCCUACCUUUAUCGAUCGAUUGAUCAAAAUGGGCAACCUGGACUUCUUUGAAUCAAUAAGAGAGAGCCUUUUGAGGCCUCUUAUUCAAUCCGUGUUUCUAGAAAUCCCUAAACAAAAUAAAAGUCAUCUUUUACCUGGUUUUUUUUUUUUUUUCCUUUGAGAGUGAUGGGGACAUUGGCGUUUGGGUUCGUAUGAGUUUCUUAUGAGGCUAUUAAACGGAGUCAAAAGUUUAAGCCUUUUAAAAACAAGAAAUAGUUAAAAAAGGGGGGAGAGAAUUGAAGAGGGGAAUUGAAUCGGCUGUGAGGGCGAAGAGGAGGGGAAGAAUCCAAGGUGGGGACGGAGAAAGAGGUAGAGGGGGGGGGGUUAAUUGCAUUCGUGAACCCCAAAUUUGGUUUAAUUACAUCCAACUACAUUGUUAUUUGGUAUUAAUUUUAUUUACGAUAUUAUAUAUAUAUAUAUAUAUAUAUUUUUUUUCAAACGCAACAUUAUAUUAUUAUUUUGUUAUGUAGUCUAGAAACUAUAUUUUUAAAUUUAUAUUUUUUUCUAUUUUUAUUUUUUUUAUAAUUAUUAUUAAACUGUUUUUGCUCAUAACUUUUUAUAAUACUAUUAAUAAAUCUAUUAUUUAAGACAAAAUCAACCAAUAUUAUUGUCAAUUUGCAUAAAAAUAUCUACAAAUUUUGAGCUUUUGUAAAAUUGGGUGCAUUUUCCGAUUGUGUUGAUUCAGACCGAAUUUUCAACAAAUUGACCAAAAUACUCUUAUUUCUUUCUCUCUUUCUUUUUCCUUCAUUUUUUUUCCUCUCCGACCUCAUCGCCUCAUCCACCUCCUCCGCGGCCUCAGCAACGGUAAUGAGGGCUGCACCAUCUCCUCUUCCUCCAUCUUCUGCGCCGGUAGCACUCGGCAACAAUAACGAGAGCGAUACCGCCUCCUCUUCCUCCGCCUUCGCUAUAGCCUCCACCCGCGCCGGAGAAGGAGAAAGAGAACUCGAAACGGCCCGCGCCGGAGAAGGAGAAAGAGAGCUCGAAACGGCCCCGGGUGAGGGUGGAGCGGACGGAGGCAAUGAUGUCGUUACUGAGGAGGUGCUCACCACCUGUGAGGGUGAGAAGAAAAGAUGCGUCCAUCUCCAAGGAACAAAUAAAGAUGCAAAGUAUUGAAAAAAAACAUAAGAAUAAAAAGUAAAAAAAAUAAAGAAAAUUUUUUUUCUCUUCAAAAGAUUAUUAUAUAUCAUUGCUUAUACCGAAAAGUCUAAGAAUCAGAGAAGGAAGAAGAAAAUAAAGAUUGCAUUGUGAAAAUAAAAUUACACAGUUUUACACAAAAAAUUACACUGUUUAAUAUGAACGUUGCACUUUUUGAAAUAAAAAUUACACUCUUUGAAAUAAAGAUUUCACUCUUUCGAUAAAAAUUACACUAUUUCAGAGAAAAUUGCACUAUUAUAUAUCCGACCCUCAUAGUCUCAUCAUCAUCUUCUUCUUCCUCUUCUCUUUACCCCUUCCUCCCUCUUCCCUUCCGACCCCCAUCCUCACCAACGCGAGCCUCUCUACCCCGCAUGCUGCAUCGAAGCCUUGAAACACGGAAACGACUUCAUCGUCUCUGUCCGCUCCACUCAAAAUUCGGGCCCCUCCGAGUUCUCCUCCGGUGAUGGUAGAGGCGGAGGAAGAGGAUGCGGAAGUGCCACCCUCUUUAUUAUCGCCGAGGGCCGGCGGGGCCGGCGGGGGAGGAGAUGGAGGAAGAGAAGGUGGCACCGCUCUUGUUACCGUCGCCGAGGGCCGCGGAGAUGGUGGAGGAGGCGAUGAGGGUCGGAGAGAAAAAAAAAAAUGAAAGAAAAAAAAGAAGAAGAGAGAAAUAGGUCUUUUCCGUGUUUCGACAGUUCGAUGCAGCACGCAGGGUAGAGAAGCUCGCAUUGGUGAGGAUGGGGGUUAGAGGAGGAAGGGAAGAAGGGGGUCAAAGGAAGAGAAAGAAGAAGACGAUGAUAAGGCGAUGAUGGUCGAAGAAUAAUACAAUUUUCUAUGAAACAGUAUAAUUUUUUUCAAAAGAGUACAACUUAAUUUUAUCUCAAAGAGUGCAACGUUCAUAUUAAACAAUGCAAGUUUCUUGUAAAAUAGUGCAAUUUUAUUUUAACAGUGCAACCUUCAUCUUUUUCUUUCUUUUUCUCUGAUUCUUAAACUUUUCAGUAACAACAAUGAUAUAAAUGGCCUUUCGAAGAGAAAAUUUUUUUAUUUUUUAUUUUUGCUUUUUCUACUCUCUACAUUUUUGUUCGCUCCUUGGAGAUGGGCGCGUCUUUUUUUCUCACCCUUAUGGGCUGCCAAUGCCGACAGAGGAGGAGAUGGAGGAAGAGAAUGUGGUGCCGCCCUCAUUACCGUCGCCGAGGCCGUGGAGGCAGUAUAAAAGGCAAUGAGGGUCGGAGAGAAAAAAAAAGAACGAAGAAAAAAAAAAAAAAGAGAGAGAAAGAAAUAAGAGUAUUUUAAUCAGUUUGUUGAAAGUCUAAUCCGAAUUUGCAAAAUCAAAAAAAGUGAUCCAAUUUUGCAAAAACUCAAAACUUGUGAAUUUUUUAUGCAAAUUGGCCCAACAUUAUUAAAAGACACUAGUCAAAUAGUAAAACAAUAUAAAAUAAAUUUUCGUAAUAAAGUUAUUUUAAAAAUUUAUCAAGUUAUUUUUAACUUUUUUUAAUAUUUUAUAUAUUUUAUUUUUUGAAUUUAUGAUUUGCCACAUUUAGUUAGCAUUUUUUUAAACAAUUUUCAUCUAAAUUUUAAUUUAUUUCUUAUAGGGUAGGAAAUGAAAAAAAAAAUUAAGUACUAUCUUUCAUAAAAUAAAUAUUGUAAUAUAGAAAGUGGGAAAAAAAAAUGUAUAAUAGAGUAUAGUAUGAGUUAGGCUGGUAUACUAUCGGUAGCACGAGGGCCACCGUGCUAUCAAGUUGUUUUCAAUGAUGUGGCUUCCAAAUCGACGAUCAGUUCCGUUAGACUUGAUCUACACUAUUGAAAGUAUUUAGAAACUAAAUUUCAUAAUUUCUCGACAUCAUUGACCUAUCAAGCGAGUAGUGUAGUAUCCUUGAUUUUGUUUCCUUUUUUUUUUUUGAGUUGGUAAGCUAGCUGUGGAUAAGGAUGCCACGUGCACCUUACCCCCCAUGCAUGCUUAUCAACUUAAAUAUUUGAGGGGGGGGAGGGGGGGUUGCAUUGCUUUAAUUUUUUUUCUAUAUAGUUCUUGAGCCGUACGUGGAGAAGACUUCGGGUGGUGGGGAUCGUCGUCGACGUCGCGCCACGGUACUGUUCGAGGGUACGUUUGUUGUCGUAGUAUUGCGAGGAGGCCGGGCGAGGGUGUGAUUCCGCCAUUCUCGAUGUCGCGUCGGAUUGGGAUUAGCGAUCGAGGUGGGUUUAUCGUCGGUUUGUCUUCUAAGUAUGCAUAUAUAGUCGACAUGUGUUUGUUGUAGCAUUCGGUAUAUCGUCUUUGGCUCAAUUCAUGGAUUCGAUGUAUUCUUUUACAAAUCCGAAUUGGAGCUUAGUAUUGCAUUGUAUUUACUCUUACACAUGUUGGACUUGAAUAUGACUUAGGAGAAAACUGCGAUUUGAAUCUGUCAUAUGUUUAAACUACCUGAUUUAGCUCUAGGAGCCGUUGUUGUUUUUGUAUCGCCACAGUAUCGGCAUGGUGGAUACCCCAGGUAGUUUAGAUUGCUGUUACGCUCGUGCUGGGAUGCCGAGCCUAAUUUUACAGUAGCUUUCAGACAGUUCCGGACUGUUGGAUGCCGUCGGGGUUGACGGUGGACCUGGAUCGCCAUUUUGGCGUUAGAUUGUGCCGAGAGCACGUGAAUUAUGAUUUUUAGACCAGUUAGACCGGUUACUUGACUUUAGCCUGUGAGAGCCGAAUGAGCUCGGCAGAGACACUUGUAAACUCGUAGGUCACGCCCGCGAAUGCCAUUCCGGAAUAAGAUUUCAGUGCGAUGUGUGUCGCGGUUUCUGUUGUAGAGUUCUCGAGCCGGCCACCUAGAGGUGGUGUACGGCGUAGCUGGAUACAGGCAAGGUGGGUCCGUUUCGGCAACCCGGGUGAAAUAGUGAGAUUGAGUCAGUUUUGACAUUUACUGCAGUUGGUUAGAGUAGAGCAGGAUAGUGUAGUGACUUUUAGCUGUAGUUUCUUUUCAGCUUUUCUUACUAUCUUUGCUUCCUCCUGUAGACUUAGUGGGUGGACCGACGGUGUUGAGAGCGGCACCCACUGAGGACUACUUAUUUUUACAGUAGUUCUCACGCCCUGUUGUUACUAUUCUUUUUGCAGAGCCAUCGGUUCCGGCUGCUGCAGCUUUUAAGGCAGAUCGUGGCAAGGGCGUCGCGAGCUAGAGCCCUAUCCGACGAGUCACUGUAAUAGAGGAUCACCCGCUGCAGAUAGUAGUAUUUUGUUUCCUUUCCAGUUUAUGUACAUGCAGCUAUUGUAACUCGCCAGAGCGAGUCCUUUUGUACCGGAUUUUGUGUAUGUCUAUAGAACUGGCUUUUAUCUACCUGUUUAUUCUCAGUACAGCUCUAUACUACUGGUUGUAGUAUUGUUUGUGUUCGGAUACAGCUACGCUUCAUAUACAGGGAAAAUUCUUUGUAUACGGCGGAUUUGUCGACGUGCCCGGGAAACGAGUAAUCCGGGGCGUGACAAGUAGUCUCAAAAUGAACGGUUGAAAUUAAAAAUCUCAUAAAAAAUAAUGAUAACAAACUUGAAUCUAAGAUCAGAGGUACUGAUCUUACUCUAAAUAGUAAAAAUAAUUUUCUAUAAGGGGCUGUUUGGUACGCAUUUGCAACUGCACUAUAGUUACAAAUGUAUGCAACCUCAAUUCUUGUGUUUGGUUUAAUGCAGUUGAGUUCAACUGCUGCAGUUGCAACUGCACGAGAAGCUCCAAAUACUGCAGUUGGAACUACAUCCAAAUUGGCUGCAGUUCCAACUGCAGCAGUUGGUGAGAAAUGCGAUCACCCACAAAUUAACAAUAAUAAAUAAAUUAUAUAUAUAUAUAUAUAGAUAAAUAAAAAUACUUGUAAAUAAACUCAUACUAAUAAAAUUUUUUAGGCAAUACAAGUUUUGUGCAAAAAAAUAAAAUUUUUUAAAUUUAUUUUAUUCAAAAUAUAAAAAAUAAAUUUUUUUUUCUAAAUUUUUAUAGAAUAUGGUUGUGUAUGUCAACUUAAUAAGUUUUAAUUAAUUAUAAUUAUUAAAUUUGGUAAAAAAAAUGAGAGAAUCGUUUAGAUUUUUAAAGUUUGAUUUAUGUAUUAAAAUUAAAUAAAUUAAAAAUUUUAAAUAUGUCAAUUGAUAAGUUGAAGAAUUAUUGAAAAAUAUAAAAAUAUUAUAUAUAUCCACUUAUUUAUUUAUAGAUAGUAAUAUAUAUCAACUUAUUUAUUUAUAUAUAGUAAAUUUAAAUGAUUAAUAAAAUUAUAUAACUAUUUUAUGUAUAGUGAAGGUAAUCUUACCACUCUAUCUAAAGAGGUGAUAAGAUUCACAAAUACAACUAUCAGCUUCAAAUUACCAAAUAGAAUAAAUGCAAUUGCAUCAGUUGCAUCUGCACAAAACCAAACAAACUAUAUAUAAUUACAACGGCUACAUUUUCAACUGUAUGUAUUUUUAACUACACUGUAUUUACAACUACAUCGAACCAAACGGUCCCUAAAAAUUUCAUCAGAUUUGGAUUGUUAUAUACCAUUAAAUUCACAAACAUAUUACAUCUACCAUUAAAAUUGUCAAUUUUGAGACCUUUUGAUCACUAGCCAAAUCAUGUCGAAAAAUUAUGAAAUUUAGUUUUCAAAUACUUUUAAUAGUAUAUAUCAAGUCUAAUGGAGUUGAUCAUCGAUUUGGAAGCCGCAUUAUUGAAAACAACUUAAUAGCACGAAGGGCUCCGUGCUAUCGAUAGUAUACCAGCCUAGCUCGUAUAGUAUAGUAAUAGUGGAAUUAAGCCUCCAAAUAUUUAUCAAAGUUUCCACUUCCCAAAAAUUUAUUCCUCCUUAAGUUUCGAUAAAAAUACCAAAUUAAUUUGUUUUAUUAUACGAUGUUAAUUUUUUUAAUAAAAAAUAAUAAUACGAGUGCUGAAUAAGUUAUUUUUAAAUCGCAUGUAUAUAGUAAACACACGAAUUAGAGCGUCGCAUUUAACAGAAUUGAUGGUUCUAAUUUUUAGAAUAAAACUAAUUUUAACACAAGUAUUCCUUUCAGAUUAGAAAAAGAAUUAAUAUUAAAUUAUUUAUCAAAAAUAAUAACUUAGUUUCUACCGGUUAUUUUUUUGUUAAUAAAUUAUAACGCAACAGACCAAUUUAAUAUAGAGUUAAAUGUAUUUAUAUCUCUGAAAAUAUAGUGAAUUGCAAUAUAUCCCUAUAAAGUUCAACUUUUAUAUAUUGUCCUUACAAAUGUUUUAAUAUUUUCAAAUAUGUUUCUCUGGCUUAUUACCGUUAUACAACUGUUUAUAUUUUAAGUGAAAUUUUAAUUUUGCCAUUACAAAUAUAUCCCUCCAAAAGUUAGAAGGGUAAAAAUGUCAAGUUAUCUCAUAAAUUAAUCAGAAUUAAGUAUUUAAUCUAUGAUUUAUUAAAGUUUUCUAGCGGAUUCUAACGGUAGAGACAUAUUCGAAAAUAUUAUAAUUGUUAUAAAAACAAUAUAUAAAACUUGAAUUUUAUAGAAAUUUAUUUAUAAUUUACUAUGUUUACAGAAACCUGUAUGAGAUUAACCCUUUAAUGUCUUAGUACAAAUUCAAAAAAAUAUUUCUAAAAGAUAGAAGCCUCUUCGGCAAAAGUUGAGGGGCUAAUAGUGCAAUUAACACCAGAGAUGGAGGUCCCUGAGCUUGUUGGUUUUUUACUUUUACAAUCUAGUGUUUAAUUUCAAUUAAAAAAAAAUGCAUGGAGAGACCCUCAACUAAUGCCUUUUUCUAGUGUCCCAUUCAACUUUAUUAUUAUUUUUUAAUAUCUUUUGGAAAAUUCUCUUAGAAAUAUAUAUAAGGUAUUCUCCGGGUAAUUCAAAUCGAAGUAAUUUGAUGUCUGACUCAGGCCUAUAUGACCGAUCGAUAGAGAUACUCUAACACUCCACCUUCGUCAUAUAUUCCAUAUAUCACAUUAGAUAGAUAUUAUAUUCAUGAAAUACGAUUCACUUUCAAAAUGCCUUGAUGGUAGAUGAUGAUGCUAGAACUUAGAAUCUACUUUCAGUACAAUAUUAUCUUAAAAAUCGAUCUAAUAAACAAUAGACAAAAAAUAUAUUUAACAUAAAUAAUUUUAGCUAAUUAUAUUAGCAAGAUAAAGCCUUUUGCUCUAUCAAAUUUACUCGUUUGAGUUAUAAACUUAGUAAAAUUUUUUAGUUUAACUAACUAGAAUAACUUAGAUUAAAAAGAUAAAAACUAGAAGAGUCUCAAUAAAGAAGAGGGUAAAGAGCUGAGGGGCGUUUUCAAAAUCGACUAAUGUUGAGGGGUUCUCCAUUUAUUUUUAACAAUUAAGAUUGACCUUAUUAACAGAGUAUUUUGAUUAAUAAUUAAGAAGUUCAAAUUUGCAAUAUGAAAUAUAUCAAUUUAAUGAAAUAUGAAUUUUUUCUCAAACUCGAUGAAGUUGAAAACUUUGUUAAAUUUAACCACUCCUACAGAGAUUAAUUAUUUUAUUAUUUUAACUUAUUUUGCUAAGAAAUAAUUGGCGUGACUAAGUUGGAUAGAAUUAUGAAUAAAUUUGAUAAGAAUCCUAAUUUAUAUGACUAAAAUUAAUUAAUUUUAACAUAAUAAAAGAAUUUUAAAAAAGUGUUAGUAAACAAAUUUAUAAAUCCAGGGUUGUUUCAAAAUUUUCUAUAGUUGAGGGGUGCUUCAAGUGUUUUUGCCAAUUUAAAUAUUUAAUUUGACCUCUUUAGCCGCGUACUCUGAUUGACUUGAAAAACCAAGAGCCGGCGAAGAACGCGAGUUUUCCGCUGGACCGGGGCCACGAAUUGGGGAAAUCGUUCCAUGGACCGCAUCCAUGGACCGCCGUCUAUGGACAACUACUUCACGGGGACCCAUCAUCAUCAGGAUUCAGGAGAAAUGGUUACAAGUCUCUGAUAAUAAAAUGCUGCGUUAGUGUUGACACCUAAUUUUUAGAUCGAGACGUGAACGAACGAAUUCGGAGAAAACACGUGGGGAUCGCCGAAAAAAGGAUUUGGUAAAGGGGUUUUGCUUUGGUUAAGAUUUUGAAAAAAAAAAAAAAGAUUUUGAAAUGAGACAUACCGAAGAUCAUUGCAGUAAAAGCUUCAGCAACGCUUAACAAUUCGAGUUAGGAUCGCCUGAGAAGUUUUUUUUUUUAAAAAUAAAUAGAAAAUGCCCGAAAAGUCUACAAAAAGAUGCACAAUUAGGAAAUACUUAAGAACGUAUUUGGUUUUAUCUUACCAGGAUUACUAUAUUUGAUUCAUACACUCUGUGAUCUGGUCAUUAAUGUAACAUUUCAGAGAUGAGGAUUACUUUAAUAACAUUACCGAACAGAAAUGAUUUUUUUGUUUUACUGAUUACUGGUUAUCUUGUAUGUUACUUAAAAUUACAAGUUUCUCCCUCAAAUUUCUCAAAUAAUUUGAUUCAAAAAUCUCAGAUUUUGAUUUAGAAAUCUUAGAAAUUUAAUUAUAUCAAAAAAAUCUAUAAUAUUAUAUAAUGCGAAUCAAAUGGGUCCGCCCCUAUAAAUAAAGCGAGUUAUCUCGCGAAAAUCAUUCUGACUACAGCUAAUUCCUCAUUACAACUCAUUAAGGCUACUCCGCAUGCGAGACGAAGUGUACAAAUCGUAGAGCGACAUGUGUCCAACCAGCAGUUAACCCUCGAAUACUUAACGUACCGUUUGGUUCGGGUAUAAACAAGAACUAGCUAUUACAGGGAUAGGUACAAGUAUGGGAAUAGGAAAAAUAGCGUUUGGAUGAAAAUUGGGUUGUUCCCGAGGAUAAGAAAAAUAUUAGGAAGUGUUAUAUAGAAAAUGGAGGUGUUGGUGGGGAUAACCGAGAACUACUAUUCUCGAGUAAAAAAUUAGCGUUUGGGUAUAAAGGGGGGGAUAAGGGCCUAUUCCUAUCCCUAUUCCCUAAAUAUAUAUAUUUAAUUAAUAAAGAAUAAUAUUUUGAAUAUUUUUUAUAUUCAUUAGUUUCUUAUGUUUGAGUCGAAGGCUUUUCAUAAACUCUAAAAUUCCGAUGAGAUUCGAACACAAAACUUUCUUACUCUUCUGUAUCAAGUAAAACAAGUAUGUAGAAAUUGAGAGAUGAGGAGCACUGCAAUCAACAUAUUUAGAAUAGAUAUUAUAUUUGGUCUUCAAUUUUUCGAAAUGAGAUAAAUUGUCUCGUAAGUGAAAUAUAUUAUCUUACAAAAUCACAUAAUAUCAAAGCAUAUUAGGAAGCCAAAAAAAAAAUCCUUUCAAUCAUACAAAAAUAUUGCUAUAUCAAAUAAACUAUCACUGAAUAACUUAUUCUGACACUUAAACAAGAUCUGAAAAUUUAAGCGAUUAGAAAAAUAUAAUUUUUAACAUUUUAUAGUCAAUAUUAUAUAAGAUAAAGAUUUAUUUUGAUUGGUUUAUAUAAGCAAUCUUCUUAAAUAGAUAAAACUAUCAUAACAAUGUAAAAAAGAAAUCCUAAAAAAUUUUAUUGAGCGAUUUUGGAGCUCAAAAUCUUAUUUUAACUUUUUGUCGGCAACUGAAGCAGCAGUGGUGAAGAACCUAAUACUGCACCAAAAAGUAGAAACGGAAACAAUGAAUGAGGCUAGUGUAAUUGUAUAUUAUUAGUUAUAAUAUAAUAAUUUAGCUUAUUAGCACUAAUAAUUCGUUGCACUCUAAAACAUCAGCUUAUAAUAUUUAAGCUUAAUUAUUAAUAUUAAAGCCUCUAUUUCUUAUAUAUUCAAUUAUAAACGGUCAAAAGUGAUAAUCGUUAACUCAACUGCAGCUUCUUGACUUCUCCUCAGCAGUAGAUCAAAUUAAACAAUUUAUUCAAAAGCGAAUGUCGAAUGUCGUCUCCACCACGGCAAUUGGAAAUAGACUCAAUGCAAACCACGUGCGUCACAAAUCUAGUUUGCAAAGUUGGUAUAUAUGAGUAACAUGCGGCACCGAUAACUUUAUCUAUCAGAUAAGACCAGUGUGCAAUUAUAGAGCCAAUUGAAAGAGCUGUGUAACAAGCUCUAAUAUGAUAGAUCGACACACACCUUAAGAAGAGUUUCGAUUAGUUUUCAUACGUAAUUUACCGAUUGUUCCUAGAACAAGUGGCAAAGGACUUGAUGGUUAGUACCCGAUGUCCUAAGUUCGAAUCCUAGCUAGUUGAUUCACAUUCCAGCUAAGUUUAUUUCUAAAUGAAAUAAAUUGAAGUGGAUAACAUGCUACCUAUCUCUCAAAAAAAAAAAAAAUUUUUUUUCAUACAUAAUUUGAAGGUAUUGUAUAAAUUUAUCAGUAUAUCAACAGCUCAUAACUAUUUCUUCUCGCACAUUCGAAGCAUUCAAGAGCAUUAGUUAUUUCGGACUACUAUAUAUCCAAGACAUGUGAUGACAUUCAUUUUAAGAGCAGGAUUAGUGUACUGUGAGCUUUUAUUUUGUCUGGGAGUUAAGGGCGUGGUCAUUAAAUACCAGAACAAGUGGGUACGAAGAGAACAAGUCUAAUUAAGUAAUGCAGCAGUAGUACAUGCAUUAAUUCAACAACUUACCAGGCGAAUUUAUUUAUGCCAUUAUUAUAGAGAUAUAUACAAGCAUACUGCUCAUUUAUCAAUUGCCCCAUGCUCUUUGAAGUAAACAAUAUAUAUAGAGAGAGAGAGAGUGAGAUUACUAUACUUCUGGAAGCACGGAGCCUUUCCUGCUUUCAGGUUGUUUUCGAUGUUGCGACUUUCGAAUCGUCGAUUCGCUCCAUUAAACUUGAUCUAGAUUAUUUGAAGUACCUAGAAAAUAAAUUUUACAAUUUUUCGAUAUCAUUUGCCUAGUGAACGAAGGGGCUCAAAAUCAACGACUGAAAAUAAAAAUCAUACAAAACAUGAUAAAAUGACAUUAAAAUUUUAGAUCAAGAUAUUGAUCUUGUUUUAUAUAGUAUAAAAAACUUUCUAUCAAAAUUUCAUGCGAUUUGGAUAUUUCUACACCGUUAAACUGGCAAACAGCUUACUACGACUAUUAAAAUCAUUGAUUUUGAGCCCAUUCGAUCACUAGGCAAAUGAUAUCGAAAAACCAUAAAAUUUAAUUUCUAGGUAUUUCAAAUACUCUAGAUCAAGUUUAACGGAGCCGAUCGACGAUUCGAAAGUCACACCAUCGAAAACGACCUAAAAGCAUGAAAGGUUCCAUACUUCCAAAAGUAUUGUAGCCUCACACACACUAUAUAUAUAGAACUAGGCUACUAUGCUAUUAAUAGCACCAAGUCAUUGGUGCAACCAAGUUUUUGGCCAUUAGAUUAAGAGAUGUGCUGUUAGGAUGAUGUGGGCCCCCUAGGGUUGAGUAAGUGGUUGGUUGAAUAGUAUGAUCUACCGGGUGAAAAUGAUUAAAAAGGUAGAUCUAACGGCGAAAAACUUGGUAGCACCAAGUGCUUCGUGCUAUUAGUAGCCGGACUAGAAUACUAUCGAUAGCAAACGGGCUCCGUUGCCACCCAUUUAUUUUCGCUGAUGGAGCCUUCAAAUCGAUGAUCGGCACCGUUGAACAUGAUUUAUACCACUUGAAGUGUUUAGAAAUCAAAUUUCAUACAUUUUCGUCAUUGUUCUCUUAUCCAUCGAGUGAACACAAAAAUAAACGGCUGAAAAUGAAUAUUCUUUAAAAAAUGAUGAUAGGAGUCUUGUAAUCAAGAUCAAGAGUAUAGAUCUUGUUUUAAAUAGUUUACAAAAUUUUCUAACAAAAAUUCAAUUGAUUUGGAUAUCUUUACGCCGUUAAACGAGAAAAUGCCUUAUAUCGACUAUUAAAAUUACAAAUUUUGAAACCCUUUGAUCAUUAGGCAAAUGAUAUAAAAAAGAUUUGAAAUUUGAUUUCUAAACACUUCAAGUGGUAUAGAUCAUGUUCAACGGUGCCGAUCGUUGAUUUGAAGGUUCCAUCAUCGAAAACAAAUGGGUGGCAACGGAGCCUGUUUGCUAUCGAUAGUAUUCUAACUUCACUUUCUCUCUCUCUCUCUCUCUAUAUAUAUAGAGAGAGAGAGAGAGAGAGAGUUAAGGUAGAAUACUAUUAGUAGCAAACGAGCUCCGUUGCCACUUAUUUAUUUUUAAUGAUGGAGAUUCUAAAUCGAAUAUCGGUAUUAUUGAACAUGAUCUAUACCACUUGAAAUAUUUAGAAACAAAUUUUCAUAUUUUUUCAAUAUUGUUCUUUUGUCCAUCAAGUGGACACAAAAAUGAACGGCUGAAAAUAAAAAUUCUUUAAAAAGUGAUGAUAGAAAUUUUGUAAUCAAGAUCGAGUGUAUAGAUCUUAUCCUAAAUAGUUUAAAAAAUUUUCUAACCAAAAUUCAACUAAUUUAAAUAUCUUUACACCAUUAAGCAUGAAAACGCCCUAUAUCUACUAUUAAAAUUUCAAAUUUUGGAACUUUUUGAUCAUUAGGUCAAUAAUGUUGAAAAAAUUUAAAAUUUGAUUUUUACAUACUUCAAGUGGUAUAGAUCAUUCUCAACUGUGCCGAUCAUCGAUUUGGAGGCUCCAUCAUAAAAAAUAAAUGGUUGGCAACGGAGCCUGUUUGUUACCGAUAAUAUUCCAGCUCGACCUCUAUAUAUAUAGAUAGAGAGAGAGAGAGAGAGAGUUGGGCUAGAAUACUAUUGAUAGUAAAAAGUUCUUUUUGCCAUCAAGUUUUUAGCCUUUGAAUUAACUCAUUUCAUCAUUUCUAAUCAUUGGAUUAAAUAUUAUAACCCAGUAGGGACCACUCAACCCUAAUGGACUAAUAUCAUCCUAACCCUAUAAUUUCUCAUCCAAGGGUUAAAGCUUGAUAGUAAAAAGGGUCUUUUGCUAUGAAUAGUAUUCCAGCUCAACUCUCUCUCUCUCUCUCUCUCUCUCUCUAUAUAUAUAUAUAUAUAUACUAAAUAAAAUAUUUAUGCAUCGAAAAAUUAUUAUCAAUAACAAUUUAUUACUAUUAUUAUCUAUUAUUUAUUACUAUAUACUAAAGUGCAUUGGACAGUCUUCUUUUAUUGACAUGUGUCCGGCUCCACUAUUCGGUAGACCCGGUGCAUCGUAGACUAUUGAUUGUAGACGUAUAAAUGGUCUAUGGAAAAAUCUUGGGUGCAUCUGAUUUAUUCUUUUUCUACAUUAAAGGAGGGUUUGGGGAUGACACGUGUUCCCCAAAACCCUCCUCUCUACUCUUUCCCUACCUAUAUAUAGGUUUUAAAAUUUUAUAUUAUAAAAUUUUAUAUCACGCCCCGGAUUACUCGUUUUUUCAGGCACGCCGACAAAUUCGCUGUAUACAAAGAAAUUUUUUCUGUAUACGAAACGAUAGCUGUACUUGUACCUGUAAUCAUACAAAACUACAACUAGUAGUAUAGAGCUGUUGAUGAAACUGUAAACAUAGGAAAAUAAAAAUUGGGUUCACUAUACAUACAUAGUGACAAGAUACAACAUCACUCGCUCGAGCGAGUAUCUAACAUCAGUAUGUACAUGAACAAAAAACCAAAGUUACCUGUAGUUGGUACUCCUCUAAAACAGCAGCAUAAUUGGAAGGGAUCUAGCUCGUGACUCUCUUUCCAUGAUCAGGGUCAGUAACAGCAGCAGCCGCAGAAUAUGGCUUUGCAAAAAGGGGUCAACAACUGGGUGUGAGAACUACUGUAAAAAGAAGUAGUUCUCAGUGGGUACCGCUGCCGACCUUAACGGCUCACCCACUAAGUUUACAUAAAGUAUGCUCAAGAAUAGUAAAGAAAGUUGGAAAAACUCUACAGCUAUAUACCACUAUACUGUCACUAACCAACACUAACUAUUUGUAGAUUUAAUAAUGCAAUCUCUGACCCAAUCUCACUAGGGACCUGUCGAAACCCUAGAGAGAGAGAGAGAAAACAACAAAUAAAAUCUCCCUCUCUGUCUCUUCAUACAUAUAUACAUGGUGGGGAUAAGGGUGAAGUCCACGAUGCAUCAAUUGACCAAAAGGCCCCUCACCUACCGUAGACUACCUAUACCAGCUCGACGCCAUACCAGUACCCAGCAGCAACAAUCGCAACCCGAGAGCAGCAUUUGGAAAAUUCCUCUGGGGUAUCGGUACUUCCCUGCGUGGUACCGGUACUCAAUACUGACAACCUGUACUUUGCAGAUUUCAGUAUCAAAACCCUCCUCUUGCGUUUCACUGAAUCCGUUUUGCGUCUAUUUCACAUCAAAACAACUCGGACUUGUUUCGACACUCUCCAGAUGUGUCGGCAAGCCUUAGAUGCUGAAAUCUCACGGCUGCAGAACCCAAGGAUAAUACAUUUUAAAUUUUGACAUAGUGUCCGGCUCCACUACUCGGUAGACCCGGUGCAUCGUAGACCAUUGAUUGUAGACAUAUAAAUGGUCUAUGAAAAAAACUUGGGUACAUCCGGUUUAUUCUUUUUCUAUAUUAAAGGAUGGUUUGGGGAUGACACAUGUUUCCCAAAACCCUCCUCUCCUCUCUUUCCCUACCUUUUAUAUAGGUUUUAAAAUUUUAUACUAUAAAAUUUUAAAUUUUGGAUACUGAAAUUCUAAUUUAUUCUUUAAUUUUGGAUAUAAAAUUUUAAUUUUAAAUUUUGGAUAUUCCCGAGCCAAACGCUACCUUAGAGUACUCCAUUUUUUUUUGUCAUUUAUCUAUUUUAAAUCUAAAUUUUAGAACAAAUCACAUCUAAUUUCUUCACUUUGAUGCUUAAUUGUGCUAAAUUUAGAAAUUUUUUACAAAAUUAAAUAUAUGUUUAUACAUUCUAAAAAAAAUUAUGAAGUCACUCAGUUAAAAACCUACGAAUCAAGUAACUACUUUUUAUUUUAUUAUAAUAUUUUUAAUUCUCCAUAUUAUUUGUAUGGGUUGACAAAAAUGAUGUGAAUAAAAUUAGAAGAAUAAGAAUUUAAAAAAAAUACAAAAAAAGAACAUGUAUUUUUGAGCAAACUGGCCUAAGAGUAAGCAUAUUACAAAUUUUUUCCUUUUGCUUUAGAAAAUUUUGAAAAUUUACGGAACCCUGAGAAUUUAGAUAGAAACUAUCAAAUUCCUAGAGAUAAAAUCUGUAAUAAAAUUUUAUAUUUUGUAAUCAGAUGUUGAUACAAAUAUGUAUUUAAUAGAUAUAUUUAAUAAAAAUAUAUAGUAUAUUUUAUAAAUAGAAUUAAGAACAUACCUGUCGUACCCGCCGCAAUGCACAGGUACAUUGCUAGUUGUGUCUAAGCAAGCAUCUCUUUUGCACUAUUUUCUUUCUCCUUUAUUCAGAGUGAAUUUAAUUUUAGAAGGCAACUCAAUGCAUCUUCUUUAUGAAAAAUCUUGGAAAGAAUGCCAGUUUUUUUUUUUUUUUUUUUUCCUUGCUCUUCUAUGCCAUGUAAAACAACACUUUGCCUUUAAGUAGAGAUAUAAAAUGGGCCGGACAGCCCAGGCAUGACUAUGGGCCGGACUGAGGCAUGUCGCGAGUACUGCAGCCUGCUAUUUUGGGCCGUACUGAGCUGCUCCUGUUAGGUCUGUCGGCUUGGCACGGCCCUUUUCGAAGCGGGCAUGGGUAGUGCUAGGCUGUGGUGCCAGGCUAGGAGGCAGCCCGGCACCGCCCAUGCCCGAUGGGAGAAGAAGGAAGACGGAAAAAAAGAGAAAAGAAGAAAGAAGUGAAAGAACAAGUUGGAGGGCAGAAUACCACAGGAAAAAAAAACGAAUUUAUGGCAUCAUUUGCAUUUAAAAUGUUAAUUAUAUACAGUUUUAUGUAAACAUAUUGAAUAACAAAUAUAUCUCUAUAUUCAACUUUUUAUAUUUAUCUCUUCAAAGGUUCUAACGUUUUCAAAUAUGGCUCUACUAUUAAGAUCCGUUAGAAAAUUAUAGUUAACUAUAGGUAAAAUACUUAAUCCUUGUUAGUAAAUGAGAUAAAUUAACCAUUUUAUCUCUUUUAUAUUAUUUGUGAUGUCAGAAAAAAAGAUAAUCAUUUAAAAUUUUUAAGAGGAUAUUUCUUCAUAAUUCUAACAGUUGGGACUUUAGAAAAGAUAUAUUUAUGAUGACAAAAAUAUCAUUUCACUUAACUUCUGUUAAAAAAUAAAUUGUUGCGUACACCCAAUAUUAUUUGCACCGAAUCUACUUUUUAAUAAUUAAUAUUGCAAAAUCAAAAUCUACUUUUAUAUAUAUGUGUGUGUGUGCGCGCGCACGCAUGCGUGCGAUUUAUACCAUGUAAAAAAAAACAUAUGUAUGAAAAAUUAAAAAAUUGAAAACUCGCAUCUAUGAAUCGAUGUAAAAGUAUUAUAAAGCUAUAAAGUUUAGAUGAUGCCUAUGGGUCAAAUGUGUUAGGCACUGUCCUAAAAAUAAAAUUAUUCCUCCACAUGCGAAUCUUUGACAAUCACUUCUAGUGAUAUAAUGAUCACAAGCUACUCCGUGGGAACAUAUUCAAGAUAAUGCAUGUGAACCAAAACUUUUUUUUUUUUGAGAUCUAGCAAAUAGAGUAAAGUUUAAAGAAUUAGUAAAGCUCAAUAGAGUAAAGCACUUUUAUUGUAAUAAAAGUUUUUAUUUAAUAAGAGGCAUAAAUAUGAUUUGAUUGUCUAUGGUAGAAUGUCUAUUUUCUCAUUUGGAGUUAAAUCGUUAGAUUUGAUUUUUUUUUUUUUUUUUUUUUUUUUUCCAUCUAAGUAAUUGAGUGUGUGAGCAAAUGUCAUAACAGAAUAACCAAAAGUGGGGUAUUCAGAGCAUCUCUCUCUUUUAUUAGAAAUUGCCCAUCAAUUCAAUCCCAGGAUUUAUUAGCUUUCCUGACCAAACAACAUUACAAUAUUGAGUAGUCACUAGUGGAAGUGUUCCUUCGCUUUUAAAAUGGCAAGUGCAUCAUCUUGUACUCUCAGCAUUGGUCAGGCGAAGACUAAGCAGAAGAGACUUUCAAAUCAACCAAGCGUCUAUUUGUUUUAGUAUAAGUGAAGUGAUAGAACUCAAAUUUCAUCACAUUCGUUAUUUGUUUUGGUGUAAGUAAAAAAUAUAAUAUAACUUAAGUUACGUUAGACCUCCACUUCACCUAUCCUCGACUUUUUAUUCUAAAGUGCCGAACUUGACUUCCGCCACACUCAACCCCCUCUAAAAAAUUUAUUGAAUAGUAAAAUCUAAACUCUAUUUUCUUUAUAAUGGGUUAGAAUUAUCUUAUUUAUAAUAAAUUAGGAUUACUUUUAAAUGAUAAUAAAAAAUUUAAUUAUAUAAUAGGUUAAAUUUUAUAGCGGUAAAUUUAUUAUUAUAUUUAAGAGAUAACGAGAUCCACUUAUUUACAUCAAAACAAACAACGAAAUUCAAAAAACUAAUUUUACCAGUAUCAAGUUAUAUCGAAACAAACAGAAAAAGUAAUUAAAUUUAACUUUCAGACUGUACGAGUUACGUCAAGACAAAUAGCAAAAAAAUAAUCACAAUUCAGAAAAACUCAAACACUAUUGCAUUUGACUUAUGUUGGAUUUACAGAUUCGUCAAUCCAAACGGCCCCUAAAAGAAAAGAAAAAGUUCAUAUGCAUUUGUACUCACAACAUGCAUCACAUGCUCUCAAAUAAAUCCUACUAUGCACAAUACUCAAUAUACACGCAUGCUAAAAAAUAACACUUUAGAUAUAAAAGAAAAUCUAAUGAUUUUGAAAAGCACCACCCAUCUCGUAUGGUUGUAAGGGUAUUACGGUUCAGUUCUUAGAAUUUUUGGGCACCUAUUCUCUCGCCUGCGGUAAAACGAAGCCAAAUUAGAAUUUUUACCCAAAAUCAUUAUUUAGACUCGUCGGAUCGCCGAACCGAAUUCAUAUAAAGGUAGAAAUACCUCUAAUUUACAAGGUCAAUUUAUUUUUAAACCACUCUAGGGCAAAAGCCCCAAUUUUGGUGUCCUAAUAAUGCCAUUUGUUCAAUCUCUUGGUUUGAUCUCUAAAACAAGCAAAGUAAGCUUGUUCAACAUCUAGAAGUUCAUCUAGAAUCUUUUCUAAGCCAUUCAAAUCAUUUCUAGGGCAUACAAACCGAGCCCUAGAAAUCCACUAUGGGAGCAUACGAAGAAAACUUAAUUUUUAUGUGUUCCAUGGCCUGUAGAAGGUUCCUACACUUGUAAAAAGGUCAAAACCAAAAAUCUAGGGUAUAAAAUCCAAGCUCUAACCUUAGUCUUACAAGAAAAUCUCACUUUUACCCAAAACCCUCCAAGGUCCACCUUGUAGGAGAGCUUCCAAGCCUUCAAAACUCCAAAAAUCUCCCCCAAAUCCUUCUCCAACUACUCCUCUUAGCUCCUUGGAGAGAUCUCUAGAGAGAGAAAGAGAGAAAUGAGAGAGAGAGGGGUGCUUGCUAUUGUGAACAGGUGGGAGGGGUGUGUGGGGUCUUAUAUGGGUUACCAAAUUGCAAAAAGAUCCUCCGAAUAUUUAUAUUUGCAGCAAACUUAAUUCUGCUGCAAAGGACAUCUUGUACCGAUACAAGGUGGUUUGUCACCGGUUACACGAUUUCGCAGAACCAAACCCGAGAGCUGCUAUUUUAGGUAUUACACUUGGUACCGGUACAAGAAGGAUUUGUUACCAGUUCAACAGCCUUUUUUUCUCAAAUCCGAGAACUGUUUCUCUCGGUCUGAUGCCUGGUACUGGAACAAACUCAAUGCAUUAUCGGUGACAAAAACUCCAGACUGGAGUUUUGCACCGUUUUCGACUCCAAUUCGUGCUGAUCAAUGCUAAAACCUUUCUAACUCUUCUGGAAUUCACUUUUAACCCUUCCAACAUUGUUUGAAUAUUAAAUUGACUUUCUCCAACUAUUUCUUUCGGACACUUUAAUCGAUUUGGCUAAAGUCCGAAACACUCUACCGAAGUUUCGGUAUAUUACAUUCUCCACCCUUUAAAAUUAAUUUCGUCCGCGAAACUAAAACAUACCUUAACUCAUCGACUCGAAUAAGUGAGGAUAAACCUUCCUCACCGUCUCCUCAAGCUCCCAAGUGGCUUCACGCACCGCUUGAUUACUUCACUGGACCUUGACAUAGGGAAUUAUGCGAUUUCGCAACUUUUUUUCUUCUCUAUCGAGAAUACAUAUCGGAUAUUCUUCAUAAGUCAUAUCCUCGCUCAACUCCACCGGUUCAUAUUUCAACACAUGAGUCGAGUUUCGUAUAUACUUGCGGAGAUUUGAUACAUAAAAUACAUUAUGAACUCCCGCAAGCCUUGGUGGUAAUGCUAGCUUGUAUGCCACCGCGCUGACGCGUUCCAAUAUUUCGAACGGUCCAACAUACCGGGGAUUUAGUUUCCCACGGAUUCCAAACCGCUUAACUCCACACAUUGGCGAUACCUUAAAAAAUACGCAGUCUUCAACCGCGAACUCUAGAUCUUUCCUCCGCUUGUCGGUAUAGCUCUUUUGCCGAAAUUGCGCCGUAGUAAGCUGUUGCUGGGUGGGGCGAACUUUCUCCUCCACCUCCCGCACUACAUCGGGGUCAAGAGCAACUCUCUCGUCCACAUCGCUCCAAUGGAUAGAAGAGCGACAUUUCUUUUCAUAAAGUGCAUCGAAUGGCGCCAUCGCAAUACUUUCUUGAUAACUAUUAUUGUAUGCGAAUUCCGCCAUUGGUAGAUAAUCAUGCCAUCCACCCUUAUAAUCAAGCACACACGCCCGUAGCAUAUCCUCAAGAAUUUGUAUUGUUCUCUCCGAUUAACCAUCACUUUGAGGAUAAAAUGUCGUAUUAAAGUCGAGCCGUGUGCCCAAAGCGUCUUGUAGGCUCAUCCAAAAGUGAGAUGUGAAUCUCGGAUCUCGAUCAGAUACCAUAGACACCGGAACCCCAUAAAGUUUCACAACCUCGUCGAGAUAUACUUGAGCCAACUUGUCUCCCGACCACGUAGUAUGAAUCGGCAAAAAGUGCGCCGACUUCGUCAACCGGUCCACUAUCACCGAACUUGUAUCGUAUCCGCCUUGUGAUCGAGGAAAACCGGUCACAAAAUCUAUUGCGAUAUCCUCCCAUUUUCAAACGGGUAUAGAUAGACUUUGCGACUUUUUCGCCGGAAACGGAUGCUCCGCUUUCACUUGUUUGCACGUAAGACAUUGCGCUACGAAUUCUCCAAUAUCUUUCUUCAUGCCCGGCCACCAAUAGUGCACUUUUAAAUCUUGAUACAUUUUAGUGCCGCCCGGAUGAAUACUAUAGGGGGAUGGAUACGCUUCUUGCAUAAUCGCCUUACGAAUAUUCUCGUUUUUAGGCACACACCAUCGAUUUCGAAAUCGAAGUGCGCCAUUGGUCCCAAUGCUGAAAUUUUCAGUACUACCGCUUUUAACUUCAUCGCACACCUUUUGGAGAUAUUCAUCGGAAGCUUAUAACUCUUUUAUUCUCUCCAACAAGGUCGGUUACACAACCAACAUGGCAAGUGUAACUGGCAUUCCCGGAGCUACUGCUUCUAGACCAAGCCGUUGCAUCUCUUUUUGCAAUAACGGUUGGGGUGUAAUUGUCGAAGCCAAGUUUUUUUUUCGAUUUUCUACUAAGUGCAUCGGCCACGACAUUCGUUUUUUCAGGGUGGUAUAGAAUAGUAACAUUGUAAUCUUUUAGUAACUCUAACCACCGCCGUUGUCGCAUAUUUAACUCUUUUUGGGUGAACAAGUAUUUGAGACUCUUAUGAUCCGUGUAAAUCUCACGAUGCUCACCGUACAAGUAAUGCCUCUAUAACUUUAGCGCAAAUAUCACCGCGGCUAGCUCGAAAUCGUGAAUCGGGUAAUUCUUUUCAUAAUUCUUCAAUUGGCGAGAAGUAUAAGCUAUCACUCGACCAUUUUGCAUUAAUACACACCCGAGACCAACAUAUGAAGCAUCACUGUACACAAGAAAGCUCUCCCCCUGCGUCGGUAGAGCAAGCACCGGGGUCAAUGUCAAUCUUUUCUUUAACUCCUCGAAGCUCUGAUCGCAAUCGUCGCUCCACACAUACUUCACUCCUUUAUGCGUGAGGUACGUUAGCGGAGUGGUUAUUUUGGCGAACCCCUCCACGAACCGCCGGUAGUAGCCCGCUAGUCCAAGAAAACUGCGGACCUCCGCAACACUCGUCGAGCGAGGCCAAUCUUUAAUUGUCUCUACUUUCUUUGGAUUUACCGAGACUCCAUCGCCCGAUAUCACAUAGCCUAAGAAAGUGACAUCCGAAAGCCAAAAGUCAUAUUUAUUCAACUUGGCAUAUAGCUUCUCUUUCCAAAAUAUUUGCAACACGGUACUCAAGUGUUCCUCGUUUUCUUCCUCACUCCAUGAAUAAACCAACACGUUGUCAAUGAAUACUACGACGCACCGGUCUAACAACAGUCGAAAGACUCGAUUCAUCAAGUCCAUAAAUACUACCGGGACAUUAGUAAGCCCAAACGGUAUUACCGUAAACUCAUAAUGGUCAUACCGUGUAUGAUACGUCGUUUUGUGCACAUCUUUGGGCCGUAUCUUCAAUUGAUGAUACCCCGACUGAAGAUCUAUCUUUGAGUACAGCCGUGACCCUUGCAACUGAUCGAAUAAAUCAUCAAUCCUCGGCAACGAGUACUUAUUCUUAAUUGUCACUUUGUUCAAUUUGUGGUAAUCCACGCAAAGUCGAAAUGUGCCAUCUUUUUUCUUUACAAAUAGCACCGAAGCUCCCCACGGUGACACGUUCGGCCUCACAAAUUCUUUAUUGAGCAAGUUUUGCAACUGUGCUUUUAGCUCUUUUACCUCCCCCGGUUUCAUUCUAUACGGAGUCUUCAAAAUUGGCGCCGCCCCGGAAAUCAAAUCAAUAAUGAACUCGAUCUCUCAGUCCGGUGGCAAUCCCGAUAACUCUACCGAAAAUACAUCCGAAAACUCGUACGCCACCCGAAUAUCACCGAGUUUCGGGUGCUCCUUUUGAGCUUCCACCAUUGUCGCCAAGUAGGCUACAGAUCCACCCUAAAUUAUUUUCCUUGCCCUCGCCGCUGAUACAGUCGCCGCGAAGCGCGAGCUUUUACAUCCCCGAUGCACUAACUCCUCUUGGUUAGGCUGACGGAAUGUGAUCACCUUACUUUCACAAUCUAUAACGGCAUAGUAUUUAGAGAGCCAAUCAAUCCCCAAAAUUACGUCGAAGCCCCACAUUCGAUUCAAUACUAGCAAGUCCGCCGGCAUAAUCUAUUCGCCUAUCUGAACAAGACGAACCAAACACUCCUCAUGCACACUAAAUGAAUGCUCAGAUGCAUUAAGCUACCAAUAAUCCGGGUUAUAGCUGAUCUCUAUGCCAUGAGUCUUAGCAAAUGAUGCACCUAUAAAUGAAUGCGAUGCAUCUGUAUCGAACAAUGCUCUAGCUCUAAUGCCAUUAAUCAAGAUAAUACCUGCCAUGACAUCGUCAGGAACUGCAGGCUGCUCUUCCAUCUAAGUGGCAAAAAUUCGCCCACUCGGUGCUCUAGAUCUCUCCGGCUGACGCGGUACUGAUGAGCGUCCAGCCGACAUAGCCGAGGGCAACCCCGCAAGCUGUCUCGGGGUGGAAGGAACUGAUGCCGCCGUCGGUGCAGACGACCCCCAACUCGGGUACUCCCAGGCCAUAUGCUCGGCUUGGCCACACUUGUAGCACUUUCCCUCGCAUUGCAGGCAAGCCGACGGUCGAUGCUCACCGCUGCAAAUAACGCAUCGGAAAGGCUUCCAAUUCUUCGAUUGCUGUCGAGGAUACCGAGGGGGUUUCUUUGCAUUUGGCCGGCCCCCGGCACCGCCCGCCGCCCGCUUCUUCCCUUUGUUUCUCGAUUCGGCCAUAGACUCGUGCUCCUCUGGCGCGUAGGCGUUGCCAUGCUCCGCACACAAAGCUCGAUCAAAGACUUCCGCAAAGGUAGUAAGCUUGAGGAUUUGCACGGCCUCAUAGAUCCUCGGUCGGAGUCCUCGUAAGAACCAAUCAGCCUGGUCUAGAUCAUCUCAAACAACAUCCGAAAAACAAUUGAUGAUGUGGGAGGACUACUGCUCGUAAUCCGCCAUCGAGCGAUCUCCUUACCUCAACUUGCGAAACUUUUCUUGCAUCUUCCGCUUCACCGUGUCAGGAAAAUAGUUAGCGAACAUCGCCCUCUUAAACUCCUCCCAUAAUAUAGGCAGAAGGUCAAAAGACCGAUCUCGCUUCAUCCGCUUCCACCACACCUUCGCUGCCUUCUCAAGACAAUGAGUGGCGAGGAGCACUUUGUCUUUCUCCAAGGGAUAAAUAUCCUCGAAGAGCGUCUCCAUGGCAUCGAUCCACGACUCCACCAUCGCCGGCUCCACCUUUUCCCCAUUAAACAUAGGUGGGUUGAAUUUCUUGAACAUAACGAGAGCCGCCAACGCACGCUCUCGCUCCGCCUCUGCCGCCGCACUUUCGGAAUUUAAAGUUCCCGAUCCGGCCGGCACCGCCGUAACGGGCACAGCCGCCGCGGCCACGCCCUCCUCCACGAUCGGCAUCGCUACAGGGGGCGCAGAAUGCUUGGCCCCUACUUGAGCCGCCGCCGCCUGCUGCCGCUCUAAAGCCUCUCGAAGACUUUGAAUCUGCUUCCUCUGAUGCUAAACCGCCUCAGCAUGUUGACGCAUCAACUCUGCUUGUUGCCGCACAAUGCCGACAAGAGCGGACAUCUGCUCCCGAAGCUCCCCGUCGCCACUAGCUUCGGAUUCCAUAGGAGCCGCACUCGAUUCCUCGGGCGUAGACCUCGUUCGGGGUCGACCACAAGGCAUUGCUUCCUGAAAUGAAGCAACUCAUAUUAGUUACAUAACCACUAUACUCGGACAUACCCAAUCUGGCGAAAACAAACAAGUGUAUUUAUUUCCAUUCCAAAGCAGUAUGUCGUCGGCCGUCGAUCACAAGACAAGGAAUAGAAAACAAUAUCUACUUAAAGUUUAGCCCCUAACCACAUUAGAGACAUAUUAAUAUCAACCCAAUCAUAAAGCUUUCGCUAUAAUUUAGUUCCACGUCACUCACAUUUUCUAGAUCCUUAAGAUUUUUCAUUCCUAAUGGUCUCUAGGUCCAUUCUAUACUUUCACUUUUGGGCUCUGAUACCAUUAUAUUUGUCAUGCUCCGAGACCGGCCAUAUUUGGUCCGUUCGGGCUCGUCGAACAGACGCCGAAUGGACAGUACCUCCCUUGUCCGCCCAAGGCUCAACAACAAGUACAAUUUCAAGUAGAAAAAUUUGAACAUGCGGAAGCAUACAUAAUUGGCUUGCACGAGGGCAAGCAAUAGCCAAAGUGAAAGUACUAAACUAAACCAUUCAUACAAGUAAUAUGAUUAGCUUUUAACUACAUACAUAGAUACAACUUGGCUAAUCUUUUACAUUCUUUGCUUUAACAUUAUUUCUUCUCUUUUACAUUACAUGAUAUCUCAAAAUAUAACUUGCUUUUACAUUUAAACAUUUAUAGUCAUCAGAAUACAAAAGAUGACAUAAAAGGGUAUGCAACUAAACCAAAAUGUGACCAACUCGGGUAGUCCCUAUCUAUGGCGUGAUACCUUUACCGCGAUCACUGGCCAGCUCACUCAGUACCGGCUCUGUGGAGAAAAAGGGGGUGAGAACUACAAUAAAAUUUUCAGUGGGUUCGGCCGCUGACCUCGCCGACUUUCCUACUAGGUCUAAAUCAGAUAUAAUAGAAGAAUGGGUAGAUAGUAACCAACUAAACAAAUACAGCUAAUAUGCCUGAGCAAUAUAUAAUCCAUGAUUAUGUUCAAAUAGAAUUCUUAUGAUGAAUGCAAGAUUACUUUUCAAUUCUUAACUUUCUUGGCUAGCCCGUAGGUUUCGCCCUCAAUUAAUUUUACCAAUUCAAGUCCCUACUAUCGGGCCCUCAGCUUCUUCCCGACGGGCCAAAUCUCUAAUAUCGGGCCCUCAGUUUCCUCCUGAUGGGAUCGUCUUCUUGGGCUUACCAUUUCCAGUGAUGACAACUCCAGAGCUCAUCACUCGAGAGGGAGCGACCUCACUCAAGCCAAGACUUAUAGGCGAGUAUGAUCAAUCCUUAACUUUAAGGAUUCCAAGUUCAAUCCAAUUCUUACUAUAAGAAUGCAAUACUCCUAUGACCCUUAACUUUAAGGUUGCUAUGUCAUAAUAUCACUAUCUCAUUUACUUGCAUUAUCACUUUUUUUUAGUGUCACUUGCACUAUUGUUCUUUGUACUCAUUCACAUGCAUUCUCAAUUCACUAAUGCCACACACUAAGUGUUCAACUCUAGCAUUCACAUUAUGCCACACACUAAGUGUUCAACUCUAGCAUUCAUAACUCAUUGAUGCCACACACUAAGUGUUCAACUCUAGCAUUCAUAACUCAUUGAUGCCACACACUAAGUGUUCUUUUCUAGCAUUCAUUGUUUACUAAUACCACACAAUCCAUAUGUCAUAAUGUUAUUUUGUUCUUUGCCUCAUCUAGAUUCAUUACUCUUUCCUAGGUUCUUGUCAUUACUCAUACAUACAUAGGAUUUUACAAGUUCUUAUUCUUUUACUAUCAUUUCAUAUGCAUUUGUACUUACAACAUGCAUCACAUGCUCUCAAAUAAAUCUUAUUAUGCACAAUGCUCAAUAUACACGUAUGCUCAAAAAUGACACUUUAGAUAUAAAAGAAAAUUCAAUAAUUUCGAAAAGCACCACCCAACUCGUAUGGUUGCAAGGGUGCUACAGUUCAAUUUUUAAAAUUUUAGAGUACUUAUUCUCUUACCUGCGGCAAAACGAAGCCAAAUUAGACUUUUUAUCCAAAAUCAUUACUUAUACUGGUCGGAUCACCGAACCGAGUUUAUAUAAUAGUUAGAAAUAUCCCUAAUUUAGUUUCUAUAAGGUCAAUCUGUCUUUAAACCACUGUAGGGCAAAAGCUCCAAUUUCGAUGCCAUAACAAUGCCAUUUGUCCAAUCUCUUGAUUUGAUAUUUAAAACAAGCAAAAGCAAGCUUGUUCAAUAUCUAGAAGUUCAUCUAGAACCUUUUAUAAGCCAUUCAAAUCAUUUCUAGGGCAUACAAAUCGAGCCCUAGAAAUCCACCAUAGAAGUACAUGAAGAAAACUUGAUUUUCAUGUAUUCCAUGGCCUCUAGAAGAUUCCUACACUUGUAAGAAGAUCAAAACCAAAAAUUUAGGGCAUAAAAUUUAAGCUCUAAUCUUAAUCUUACAAGAAAAUCUUACCUUUGCCCAAAGCCCUCCAAGGUCCACCUUGUAAGAGAGCUCCCAAGCCUUCAAAACCCCAAAAAUCUCCUCCAAAUCCUUUUCUAACUCCUUGUCUUAGCUCCUUAAGUGGGCCCAUUACUCUAUAUUCCUGGUUUGCCAAAGAGGCCCUGAGUUUAAAUUUUUUUACCUGCAUUCAAGUUUUUUCAAAUUAGUGAUACAAAAUUAAUGUCUAAACUAGAGAAAUUUACAAGUUUUUUAAACAUAUUAAAUAUGUUAAAUUUAAAUAUCUACCAACAUUAAAAAUUUAAAUAGUAAUACAAAUUUCUUCUAAUUUAAAUUUAAAUUUUUAAAAUUUAAAUAUUUAAUAUUUAAUAUUUAAAUCAACAUAUUUAGAAAUAGUAGUAUUUCUAAAAUUCCUAAAAUUCAAAUUGAUGCGUAAAUUAGGGGAACACUAAAAUUCCUAAAAUUAAAUGCAUAAAUUAGUGCAAAAUUAAUGCCUAAAUUUGGGAUAUAAGUCAAUUCCUUAAUCAAUGCUUAAAUUAGUGCAAAAUUAAUGCUUAAAUUUGAAUUUUAGGAAUUUUAGAAAUACUACUAUUUCUAAAUAUGUUGAUUUAAAUAUUAAAUAUUAAAUAUUUAAAUUUUAAAAAUUUAAAUUNAAAUUAGUGCAAAAUUAAUGCUUAAAUUUGAGAUAUCAAUCAAACUUUCUAACAUUGCACAGUUUAAUUACAAAAAUACCCUCGUCGUAACCAGCUACAUAUUAAAAUAACAUCUUUACUCUUUAUUAAUCAACGGAUAGAAUUUUUUAAAUUUUUUUUAUUUUUUAUAAAAUAAAGUACCGAAUCAUUUCUCAACCAGUUUUAACUCAGCCCAACACUCUAAGAACAUACUAACUAAUAAUCCAAACUGUAACUUCGCCAAUUUGUCUAUGUCCGGUAUAUUACACUAUAAUAUUAUCUUAAUUGGUGUAAGGAUUGACUUUUUUUAUGAUAAACAAUGAGUUUAGUUGAUCGAAGGGUUACUUAUUUAAUAUGUACUAAUUGCCCCUGAACUCUUUUUUUGUUAUCCAUGGUCCAUCUGAUUUGUAUUUCUCAGACUCAAAAAUUAGUUAAUUCCAUAGCCAUAUUAAGCAAGCAUUUAAAGUUGUUUUUUCAUAAAUUUUUAGCAUUCAUUUAUUUGUAUACAACAUCAUCACUAAUUUUCAAAGCUUUUACUUCUAAGCUAUUUUAAAGUUGUUUUGUUUGUGCACUAACAUUUGGUUCUUCUUUCGGCAGAUUAGAUGUGCGAGGAUAUCAAUGUACUGAAUUUCUAAGCACUAAAAUCUUAAGAAUUUUCACUACCGAGAAACAAUAAUAGCCGAGGUUGCAGUGUUUUUAGCCAUUGAAAAGCUUGGUGAUGCAUUAGGAACAGAACUGUUGAACCAAGCUAGCUCUCUAUUUUCAAAGCUACUAGCAUCAUUGGCAGAGCUCCCUGAUAGUAUGGGACGCAUAAGGCGUGAACUCCACAUAAUGCAAGGAUUCUUACAUCACAUUGAUAUGGUAGAUAAAAAAAAUCAACUCCUUGAAUCUUGGAUAGAGGAAGUGCGAAAAGUUGCAUAUAUUAUUGAGGAUAUUGUGGAUGAGUAUAUCUAUCUUAUAGUUCAAGAUCAGCGCCGACAAGGUGGACUAGUUGGUUACAUGAAACAAGUGUUGAAGCAACCAAAAUCGUUUGGUAGCUUCUGUCUUAUUGCCUCUCAACUAGAACGAGUAGAGAAAGACCUUGACCACUUCUCACACUUAAAAGAUCGAUGGAUUCAAACAACGAGUAUUGGCCAUAGUAGUAGUUCAGAUAAGGUGAGCGAAUGGACACAACAUCUUAUGGGAAGCACUUCUCUUUUCAUGGGCGAGGAACAACUCGUAGGGAUUGACGAAGACCAACAUAUGUUAACUAAUUGGUUGAGGUCUGAGAAAUUAGAUCUCUGCAUAAUAAUAGUUUGGGGUAUGGGCAGGCUUGGAAAGACUACUUUAGUCAACAAUAUUUAUAAAAGUGAAAGUAGAACUUUGACUGCCGUGCCUGGAUUUCUGUAUCUCAAACUUUUAAAGUAGAAGAUCUUCUCCGAAAAAUGAUUACUGAACUUUUUGGCAACCAAAAAAUAGUUCCAACUGAUAUUGCCACCAUGGAUGGUAAAAAGUUGGAAGAGACACUAGCGGAAUUCUUAAGACAAAAGAAGUAUCUAAUUGUACUAGAUGAUGUAUGGGUUCCAGAAGCAUUUUAUGUAUUGCGUGAUUCUCUUGUCGCUAAUCAGAAAGGAAGUAGAAUAUUUAUUACAACAAGAAUUGCAGAAGUAGCAUCACUUGCGAACGAAAACUAUAAGCUUGAACUCAAACCUUUAUCUGGUCUUGAUGCAUGGAAACUUUUCUGCAAGAGAGCAUUUAUGAAUUAUCCAAACCAAGAAUGUCCCCCAGAGUUAGAAAAAAUUGCAAGAGAUAUUGUGGCCAAGUGCGAAGGGUUGCCACUAGCUGUUGUAUCACUAGGCAGCCUCCUGUCCUUAAGAGAGAAGAGUGAGACUGAAUGGAAGCGAGUUUAUAAUCAGCUUAACUGGGAGCUUACAAACCACCCAAGUCUUGAUCCCGUGAGAAACACUUUGAAUUUAAGCUUCAACUAUCUUCCUAAAUAUCUGAGGAAUUGCUUCUUAUCUUGCAGCAUGUUUCCAGAGGAUUGCCUUCUUAGAAGAAAAGGGCUUAUUAGAAUAUGGAUAGCAGAGGGUUUUGCGGCAGAAAGAGGAUCAAGCACGGCUGAGGAAGUUGCAGAAGGAUAUCUCAUGGAGCUUAUCCGUCGGAGCAUGCUGCAAUUGGUAGAGAGAAACCACUUCGGUAGGGUAAAGUUUUGUCGGAUGCAUGAUCUCGUGUGCGAGCUGGCUGUCUCUUUAUCUAAAAAUGAGAAGUUCCACAUUAUUUAUGAGGAUAAUGGGAUGGAAAGAAUGGUGGAUGCUAAUGCUCGUCGCCUGUCUGUUCUCAAACACAGCAAUGAUAUUGGAUUCAACAUUGAUCUACCGCGGCUACGAACCUUUGUAGCAUUUGGCACUACUAUGCCGCCGUCCUCAUUUUUAUCUGCUUUUCCAUCCAAAUCAAGGUAUAUUGCAAUUCUUGAACUGCAAGGCUUGCCUAUUGAGGAGAUACCUGAUGCUAUUGGAGACUUAUUCAAUUUGCGAUACUUGGGUUUAAGAGAAACGAAGGUAAAACUACUACCAAAAUCCAUUGGCAAGCUUUCCAACUUGUUGAUCUUGGACCUCUAUCAGUCAGCUAUACAAGAGCUGCCUCGUGGGAUCACAAAUCUCAAGAAAUUGCGCCACAUGUUUGUUGAAAGGGUAAAUGACCCAACCGGGAAAACCUUUCGCUUGUGUAGUGGUAUACAUGCACCAAAAGGUUUGUGGAAUUUAAAAGAAUUACAAACAUUGCAAGCGGUUGAAGCGAGUAGUGAGUUGGUUGGGCAACUGGGAAAUUUGACCAACCUGAGAAGUUUUAGAAUAUGGAACGUAAAGGAAACCUACUCUGCACAACUCUGCGCAGCAUUAUCACAAAUGCAUCAUCUUUUUAACUUAGGCAUUAAUGCAAGUGAUGAAAAUGAGUUUCUCAAUUUGGAAGGCUUGAACCCCCCACCCCCGAAUCUUAAAAAGCUUAGUCUAACAGGUAGAUUGGCACCAGGAACGAUGGUGUCUCCUUUGUUUCGAGCCCACGGGAAAAAUCUCCAAGAAUUAGGACUAUCUUGGUGCCAGCUAACUGUGGAUCCUCUUCCGUCGCUCGCUUGGUUGUCAAACCUCACUGCCUUAUGUCUUCACAGAGCAUACGAUGGAGAACAGUUGUGCUUUCGUGCUAAAUGGUUCCCUAACUUGCACGAGCUUCGAUUGAUUGACCUGUUGCAACUCCGACAAGUGAAGAUAGAGAUGACGGCCUUGUCAAACUUAGAAACUCUAUAUCUGGAAAGCCUAAGUAGCCUAGUAGAGGUCCCAAAAGGCAUUGGAUUCCUCAAAUCAUUGCAAAAGCUAUUUUUGUAUGAUAUGGAUCGUCAGUUGACGAGUCGUUUAAAAGCCAAUGCCAAGCUUCUACACAUCUAUUUACACUUAUUUGAAGUGCCUUCCUUUCAUCUGGAUUCGCUCACAAGUAAGUUUCUACAUGUCACACCCACGCAUUUCUUUUGCAAAUUUCCAAAUUUUACUACGUUUAAUUUCAUGCUUAACCCAAAACUGCUUACGGCACAUAAAACUAUGUUAGUAUCUUAUGUCUAAUUUAUUGAUUUUCUCUCCUUUGGUUUGAUUUUUGUUCAUUUUCAUCUCAUUUGGAGCCACCAGUAUUCGAUCAAAACAUAUUUUUAUGAACUUAAAUUCCAUAAUAAAGUUCCUAGUUAGGCAAUUGCUUAAACAUUAAUUGUUUCUUUCAGUACACUACUUUUGAUCUCAUAUUUAUUUAGUCAACAUAGAAAUUGCUACUAUAUUGAAAAUAAACCAAUGAUAUUCACUAAGUCCUAAAAAGAGCUUUUGCCAAUUUAAUUUGUAUAUUUUUUAGACUCUAUGCUUUCUACUAGCAAUGCUCAUGCAAAUUGACAGUUCAUUACAUAUUCAACUUGUUUUCUUACUAUAUAAUUUAAGUAAUAAAUUUACUAGUGCAACUGUACAGAUGUACUAUGCAUUUUUUAUUAUUAUUUUUUUCCAUCACAUAUUUCGUUACCAUGCAUUUAUGCUACUUUUAUUUUUUUUCUAUACUAUGAUUGUGUGCAUGCAACAUGCGCUUUGCACAAAAAUAAAGAAAAAAAAUUUAAGGAGAUGCUUUUAUAAAUUUUGAAAAUUUAUAAAUUUUAUCUGAUUGUAAUCAUCUAAUCUGAUAGAAAAAAUAGGAAGAAUUAUAUUAGAUUUAGUCAAAUUAGGUUUUUUUUUCAAAUUUCAUUAAUUUAAAAGUUAAAUAUCAUGUCGGUUAAUACAUGAAAAACUUACUGUAGAAUAAAAUCAAAUAAAAACUGUUACGUACGUGUUUCAAAUAUAAAUGUAUUUUUAUAAUAGAGGAGUAUUUUUUUUAAAAAAAGAGUAUAUCCUACCCUUUAUCCAUUCACUGGGUGAGGUGUUUUCACCGGUCACUUAAUGUGAUUGGUAGUUAACACCCCAUCCUUUGGAUGGAUGGGGUGUAACUUGUACACCUCCUAUGGAAUGUACAAGUGGCAUUUUUCAAAAGGAAUUUGACUGGCCCAAUAUUUUUACUCGCUCUUGUAUUUACACUAGUUAAAGUGCACAUGCAUGUAAUGCACACUUUGCACAAAAAAGAAAGUAAAAAAAUAAAAAAAUAAACUUGAGAAAUAAUUUUAAAGACUGUGUUUGGGGGGAAAUUUGACAUAUUCAAAAUUUUUAUUCGCUGUUUUAUAUAUAGUACAAUUUUAAAAUCCGAUCAAAUUUCAGAAUCAAUAACUUGUAAACUUUAAGGUAUAAAAACAUCAUAAAUGUUAUUUUUCUUCACUGGCCAUCAUUUCCUUCCAUGGUCAAUUUAUAUGCACACACCUCACCUUUUUUUUUUUUGGAAAUAUAUAAAUAGUCUAUUUUAUAGUUGGAAUUAACUAUCCCCUUAGUUUUUUUCUUGUUCACUAGUUUAUUCUGUGCAUGUGAAACUUGGUGCUAAUUUUUCAAUUUGUACUUCUCAAUUUAUUUCUUUUUCAAUUUUUUGAAAAUUCAGGUCAUCCUCUCCUUGGUUUUAAGCCACCGAGUACUUCUCAGUGUUUGUCGGUCAUGCCAUUAUUUGCUUAAUAUAGCAUUAUUAUUUGUUUGUCCACUAAAUUAUUCCUGCAAACUCAAACAAAGUUGUUGUAUGUAUUUUCUGUAUUAGUUUAGUUCUUUCAAUCACAUGCUAUAUGUGUUGUUUUACAAUAUAAUAUACCGACCGUCCUUAGAGCAAAUGGCAAAGGGCUUGGUGGUUAGUACCCGAGGUCCUAACUUCGAAUUCUAGUUGAUUCACAUUUUCUAGCUAAGUUUAUUCUAAAUGAAAUAAACGAAACAGAUAACAUGCUAUCUAUCUCUCAAAAAAAAAUAUAUAUACGGCGCAUGAUAUAUGAUAAUAUCUUGUGGAAUUAUUCUGUAAGAAAACAUUAUUGAUAAUAAUGUGUCAUUUUGUUGAAACAUUUGCAUCUACACUAACUUGAUUUUCCGUAUUCUCGAUGGAUUUACAUCCGUUGUAUACAAUAGCAGGAACUCUUACAAUAGAAAUACAAGUAACUUCUAUCCAAUAGAGGACAUUGAUUGAGAAACUCGGUAAAAGUGGCAGGUUUGAACGGAUAGUUUCGAUCUAUUGUGGGCGUGCUGACUCGAUCUAUCAAGUAAUGGAUUGUUUAGCACAUUUUGAUCUUACAAAUAGUUGCGAGAGUCUAUGUUAGCCAAUCACUUCAAUGCCCUAUACAAUUGCCAUUCAUGCAACUGGCUCACAGUUACAGAAGCCCUAAAAAAAUGUCUGGAUUUUGUUUUCCUAAAAAUAUUUGAAAAAGAAAAAUAUUAAUUUGCGAUGAAAUUUUGAAAAUAAAUUUUUAAAAACUAUUUUUUUUUAACCAAAUGAAUGGAAAACUGAAAAAAAAAAAUUCCAUAACAUUUUCUUGGCAAAAAAAAAAAGAAAGUUUUUUUCACGCUUUUUCGACAAACAAAGCACCCCUUAGCAUCGCAUAAAGUCGACGUUUCUUCGGCAUUUCCUUUCCCGCAAACGCUUUAUUAUUAGUUAGCACCUCCACUAUCUAUCUCGAUAUUUUCAAUAGAAUUGUAUUAAAACCAUAUCCGUUUAAGGGUUGUUUGGUUCCUCAAAAAAACGCGAAAAAAGAACUUUAAUUUGAGAAAAAAGUUUUUUAAUUUUCCGUCUAUUUAGUUUCACCGAAAACUAGAUUUUUUUUUUUUUUUUUGAAAAGAACCAUAUCCGUUUAAGGGUUCUUUGGUUCCUCAAAAAAGCAUGCAAAAAAAAGUUUGAGAAAUUUUUUUUUUUAAUUUUCCAUCUGUUUAGUUUCAUGGAAAACUAGAUUUUUUUUUUUGAAAAGUUUAUUUUCAAAAUUUAUGAAAAACUAGUAUAUUCAUUUCCUAAAAAAUUAAAAAAAUUAAUAAUUUGUGAUGAAAUUUGGAAAAUAAAUUUUCCAAAAAAAACUAAUCUUUUAAAACUAAAUGGACAAAAAACUGAAAAAAGAAAUUUCAUAAAUUUUUUCUAGGAAAAUUUUUUCUCGCUUUUCCAACCAAUCAAGCACCCCUUAGCAUUGGAUAAAGUUGAUAUUUCUUCACAUUUUCUUUUCAGCAAAUGCUUUAUUAUUAGUUAGCACCUCUACUAUCUAUCUCGACUUUCGCAAUAGAAUCUAUUACUAUAUAUAAAAGUAGAACCCUUAAUGAACCCUAUGUGAGAAGCUGGCACGUGGCUUUCUAUAUGUUUGCCACGUGUCAAACUCAAAUAUGUAUAUUUGGUUACGAAUUAUUUGAAAUUAUUGAAAAUCAAUAUCUUUUGCUAUAUUAUUAAAAAUCACCUAUAAUGAAGGAGAAAUUAUUUCAAAGUCACCUAUAAUUAUGUUGAGAUAUUUAAAAAAUUCACGGAUAUUAUGUGGCAAAAAAAUUGACCGGUGCAGAUAUUAUGCGUGAGAAGAAAAAUAUUUAUCUUUAUUUGGGAAUAAAUUACUACUUAGUUAAUUAUUUGAAAUGAUUGAUCGAAAAUUUCUGGACAUAAAAAUAUUAGUAAAAAAGGAUAGAGACAUUUUUGGAAAGAGAAAAAAUUCAAAACUAGUGUUUUUAUAAAAAAAUAAUAUCUUUUACUAUAUUAUUAAAAAUCACAUAUAAUGAAGAAAAUUUUAUUUCAAAGUCACCUAUAAUUAUGUUGAGAUAUUAAAGAAAUUUAUGGAUAUUAUGUUGCAAAAGAAUUGGCGGUGCGGAUAUUACGCGUAAGAAGAAAAAUAUUUAUCUUUAUUUAGGAAUAAAUUAUUACUUAGUUAAUUAUUUAAAAUGAUUGGUUGAAAAUUUCUGGACAUAAAAAUAUUAGUAAAAAAGGAUAGAGGCAUUUUUGGAAAGAGGAAAAAAUUUAAAACUCACAUCACUCCUGUAAUUUUCUUCGCUCUUAAAUAUUGAUGCUUUAAAAUAGAACAUAUUAUUUCCCUACUGUCACUUCUGUAAUUUUCAUUUCGUAAUUUUUUUCCCUUCUGUCACUCAUGUAACUUUUUAUCUUCAUUCAACAAAAUUUUUUUUCUUUAUAUUUUCUUGAAAACCAACAUCUAUAUAUUUUUGAAUCUUAAAAGCGACAAUAGGAACAUAAUAUAUGUAUGCUUACUCUAAUUUGUGUCAAAUAUAAAAGUUUAGUUGAUCUCAUUAUAUGCUUAAAUAUUAAUGCCAUUUAUAAUUUUUCAUAUCAAUUUUAGUUAUCAUUUUAUUUCGCACAUCAAUAUGUAAAUGUAAAUUGUUUUGUAUACCAAUUCAUAAAUAAUAGAGCAGAAUUGAAUUUUGCAUUUUAGUUGAAUAUUUACUUUGGUCCAUUUUUUUUUUCUCUAGCUUGUGUACUUUAAUAUGUACUAUAAUUAAGAUUGAUAGUAUAUUUUUUUAUUUAUUAAAAAAUAUAAAAUUAAUUAGAAAAUCUCUUUGUUAUUAUCACAUAAUAAUUUUUAUUAUUCUAUAUUAUUAUAUUAGCCGUGCAUCGCACGGGUGAAAAUCUAGUUAUAUUCAAAAUCAUAUCCGUUUAAUGGUUGUUUGGUCCUCGAAAAAAUGUGAAAAAUUUUUUUGAAAAAAAAAUAUUUUUUUUUUUUUCAAUUUCCAUCUGUUUGAUUUCGAAAAACAACCAGAUUUUUUGAAAAAAAAAAAUCCAAAUUUUAUGGAAAAACCAGCAUUUUUAUUUUUCUAAAGAAUGCAAAAAAUAAAAAUAUUUAAUUUGCAAUGAAAUUUUAAAAAUAAAAUUUAAAAAUUAAUUUUUUAAAACUAUACGAACGAAAAAUUGAAAAUAAAAAAAAAAAGCACAAAAGAAAUUUUCUCAAAAUUUUUUUUUUUUUUUGAUUAAACAGGGGAAUACCCUAUUUGAAACUUGGAACAAAGUAACAGAAGUUGUAAAGAAAUGCAAAAGAGCAAAAUAACAGGCCACAUAGAGAUAACAAAACAAUCAGGAGAACAACAUUAUGGUGUGGCUGCUGCAUAACUGCAAAAGUGUGGACUGCCACAGCACAAGCAGAACAACAUUUUGCUGCAUAACUGCAAAAAUUUUUUUUCAAAUUUUUUUUUUUUUUCAUGCUUUUCGGACCAACCAAGCAGCCCUUACCAUCAAGACGAAUUCGGCGCUUCUUCCGAAUGCAGUACCCUUUCAACAAACGCCGUAGCAUUAAUUAGCACCAACCACUCUCGCUCUUCGUUUUCAAUAGAAUUGUACAAUUCCUUCCAGAUUCCAGAUCAGCAAACGCUUUAGCAUUAAUUGGCACCUACCGCUCUCUAUCUCUUUGUUUUGCAAUAGAAUUCUAUUCCUUCCACGUUUCUUUAUCAUUAGUUGGAUCCUCCUCUAUCUAUCUCCCUAUUGCUAGUUUCUCCAUCAUUUCUCUCUUCUCUUAUCUUUCUUUAAGGCUGCCAGGCAAUGCAUGGUGGAUAUCUACAUGAUCACUAGUUAGCUUGAGAAGACACUGGAGGAAGAAGAAAGAGAAGACGGCAGCUGCUGCCGUUUGCUGCCACCGCGACGCGACGGCUGUUGCCAUUGGAGGAAGAAGAAGGAAACCAUGGCUAUCGCUACGGGUCUGGUUGGUUUCGAUAAAACUUAAUAGCAGAUUACUGCACAUAUAAGAUUAUCAUAUUUGGUCAGUAGAUUUCAAUAAUGCUAAUAAUAAAAUUUAUACUAUUUUAAAAAUAUUCUUACACUAUAUUCAUUUAAAUAUCAAACUUUAAUUGUAAAUUCAAGGUCUAGAUUUGAAUUUGAAUUUUAGAUUCAAGUUCUGAUUUUCAAUCCAAAGUUCGAUUUCAAUUUUUAAUUCGAAAUCGGAUUUUGUUUUCAAGAUUCUAAUUUUGGAUUCGAAAAGGAAAUUUAAAUAAAGUUUCUAAAAUCAAAUUUCAACUUUCAAAUUUAAAUUUAAAUAAUUUAAAUUUAUUAAAAUUUUAAAUGCAAAUUUAGAUUUUGAAUUUAUAUUUCAGUUCGACUUCAUACUUUUAAUCCAAAUUUAGAAUUGGAGUUCAUAUUUUAUACACAAAUUCAAAUUUAGAAUUUAAAUUUAAAUUAUUUAAGUUUUAAAAUCAAAUUUAAAAUUCAAAUUUAGAUUGGAAUUCAAAUUUUAACUUCAAAUUGAAAAUUUAAAUUUGGAAUUAAAAAACUUAAAUAUUUCAAUUAAAUGAGAAAUUAAUAUUUAAAUUAAAAUUUUAGUCAAUUGGUGGUUGGGUAGGGGCCACUUUGAAAAUUUUCAUAAAUUACAGAAUUAACAACAAUCAGUAACAUAGGACAUCUAUCCCCUCAUCGGUAAUAUUUUGUAAGUAAUCUUACGCUGUCAGUAAGUCUAUAAUUGACAAAAUUACAUACCAGGUGAAUCAAACACAAUAAUUUGAAAAGAUUCAUACAUAAUUUUCGAUAAUCCUGGUAGGAUAGUACAAACCAAACAGGGUCAUUAUAGGCCAAGCUCUGACUGAGUCAAGUUCGGAAUGAUAGGCCAAGCUCUGGGAAUAAUUGGCUAAAUUAGGACAAGUGAGACAACUCUUAAAUCUUCUAGUGAUCUUGGGCUCUGUAUGUAAUUGGGUUGACGACAACGUCAAGGUUUAAGCGGGGGGAGUCAGUCUGUGACAUCCCAACAAUUUUACAUCGGAUAGGAAGAGAGUUAUGAUUGAGUAUAUAAAAGACUAUGAAACCUAUAAAUAAAAAUUGGGAUUAAGCAUUUUAGGUCGGUGGUUUGAGCCUAACGAGUUAUUAUUGCUAAUAGAUCGUGUCAUUAUAAUUUUGGAAAAGUAAUUUUUGCAGAACUAAUUUUAGUUUUGGGAAUUGAUUUUUGUUAAAAGUUAUAGAGUGUUUAAGUGAGUGUUUAGAGGAAAACUUAUUUUUUCUGAAGUGAUUUUGUAAAGCUGUUUGACAAAAAAAAAAUUUACUAUUUGCAAAUAAUAAUUUUUUUAAAGAAUUUUAUUUUAAAAUAAUUGAGAGUUUGAAUUUAAAUUUACUAUUUUAAAUUUUAAAUUUGCAUAAAAUUUAAACAUUUUAAAUUUUAAUUUGAAAUAUGAAAUUUAUAAUUUAUAAUUUUCGCCCGGCCGUUUUACACCCCUAUUUGAACCAUUGAAUUUAGGGCAUGUUUGGUUCACCUAUUUUAGAUUAUGGAAUCGGAAUGUAAUUCAUUGAUUCCGAUAGUUGCCUGUUUGUUUUAUAGGAAUCAGAUUUUUCAUUUAUGAUCCAAUCCGGCUUUCGAUCCUGGAUUGACUCAUUUCAAAGUAAAUUAUUCAAAAUUCUCUUUCAUCACUACCUACCUCAUCUCCUUUCAUCACUUUUCUCUCUCUUAAUCAAAACCCUCUCUCAAAAAUUUUGAAUUUUCAUUCCGAUUUCUAUUCCAAUAAUGAACCAAAUAUUUUUGGAUGAUUCGUCAUUCCAUUUUCCAUUCCAAAGCAAUUCAAUUUUAUUUCUCAUUUUUAUUUCAAUCAUGAACCAAACAUGCCCUUAUAGUUUCAGAACGUUGACUCAAGGACUUUAUUCAUAAAACGAAUAUGACUUUCUCGUUUUAGCUACGUGUGGAACAAUCUAAUUAUUGUUAGAUUUGUUAUUGAAUUUCUGCCUUAUUAUGCGAUCAAUUCAACCCAUAAACAUUGUAAACUUGGACUGAUCAGCCAAAAAAAGAAAAGAAAAGAAAAAAAGAAACGAAACUGCACAUUAGGCAGAACUUGCGUGUUAAUUUCAACUCCAAUUAAUAAUUCAAGUGGUGUUAGAUUCAGAUUAAGAGGAUUAUUGAGUCUAGUAAGAGUUAAAAAGAAAAUAACAAGAUUAAAAUUUGUAAAUAGUAUACUCUUGCAUAUAAUAAUACAACUAUAUAUAAUUUCGGUUUAGAGCGUGAUGAUCAAUCCAAACUAAUCAAAUAUUUCUCUAAUACAACCAAAUGCAUGGUGGCUACUCUAUGCAUAGUUAGUAAAUUCGCGAAUUAUUCGCGAAUUAUUCGCGAAUUUUUGAGAAAGCGAAUUAAACAGCCGAAUAAGUAUUUUUCCAAAAAUUUGGAAAAAAACGCAUUUUUUUGGAGAAAAGUAAUUAUUCGCGAAUUAUUCGCGUUUCGCGAAUUAUUCGCCCAAAAAAAGGGCCCGCCCGCGCCCGCACCCGGGCCCGCCCCCUGGCCGGCGCCCGCGCAAGGCCCGCGCCAUCACCCGGGCCCGCAUCCUGGCCCGCGCUUGCGCCCAGGCCCCCUUCGGCGUCUUGCGGGCUCGCGGCUCGGCUGGCCCGAAACAAAGAAAAAAAUAAAAAAAACUUUCCAAAAUCCAAAUUCAAAAUUCAAACCUCGCACCAAAAAAAUAAAUAAAUAAAUCUUUUCGAAACGUUCACUCUCCUCUCCCCCCCAAAAAAAAUCACUCGAUCAAAAAAAUUUAAUCUCUUAUUUAUUUAAUUUAUUAUUUAUUUUAAGGUAUAAUAUAGUUUGCUAUUUUUUUUACGUAAUUAGCUUAAUUUUGUAGUUUUUUUCUUAUAUUCUUAAGAAAUAUGAUUAUUUAUGCUAAUAGCAAAAAUUUUGAGAGAAAAAAAUUUAAUUUAACAGCCGAAUUUUUGAUCCCGAAUUUUUAAUUGGUAAACGUAUAAUAUCCGUAUAAAUUACGUAUCCGAAUAAUUGACGAAUCCAUUUUUUAACCGUAUUUUUUAACGAAUUUAAAAAUUAAAAGACGAAUUUUAUUCAAAUUAUAUCCGUACUGAAUUUUUGCCGAAUCCGAAUUAACUAACUAUGACUCUAUGCUGAGAUUUGAAACUGUGUCGCUUAUAUUUGAUUUAGAUAUGCUAUGCUUUUGACAUUGGCAUAUUUCUUUCAUGCUGAGGUAAAUUGCUUAUUUUGAAUUUUUUACCUUGACUUCAUCCUGAGCAUAUCUUGUCAUUGCUCAAAUCUAUUGAAUAACUUUCUUGAGACAAAAUACAAAUCUGAAUUUUCUUGCACAUAGCGUAUAAAUAAAAAAACAUAAUUGUUGUCCCAAAUGGGGACCCUACUAGUGAUCAUGGGUCAAUACAAAAUAGUAGAUGCUUCUCAAUCUUCUUUGCUCUUGUUGGCGCCAUAAAAACGGCGCCACGUGAUAAGAUAGCUUGCACCACGUAGAGGGCUCCCGAAGCCGAAAGUGGAGCGGCAUGUGGUGCGCUAGGAUUUGAGAAGAACACGCCCCAAAUCGAAAAUUGGUUAGGCGAGAUGCGGUUGAGACCGUGGCCCAAGAAAUAGGGAUAUGGCCGAGAUACACCCCAUAAUGGGGAAUAAUUGAAUAAGAGCAGACGCGACUAAAUAUACAGAAUACACUUGCUAGAAAAAAAAAAAUUUCCUGCGAACAAGAAAACCAUUCUAUUUCCAGUAUUUGCUUGCUUUUCUAGGAAUAGUCUACUUGUAGUAUUCAAUUUCUCUCCCAUUUUCCUAUUUUCUUAGGAGUAGUUUUUAAGAUAGAAUUCCUUGUAACAAUGAAACCCAUCAUUCUAUAAACUUCUUUUUUGCUUUUGAAAUACAUAUCAGAAUCACUCGGCUCAUUUUAGCCGAAUAUAUAAUGGAGUGCUUGAACUCAGCUGAGUGGAUCCCUCAUCAGCCUAUUGCUUGAUUUAGUCAUGUGCGCACACUCGAUGGUCACUGUCGGAAGUUGUUCCUUUCUCUGCUCCUUUCCCACAACGAAUCUCUAACCGAAUCAACAGUCCAGGAAUUCAGUUCCUAACAAUUUUUUGGCAUGCCGGUGGACAUUCAGGUAAUUCCCAAUUUACUUUUUAUGUUAUGGCCGACGACGACGCUAUGAACCUCCGGAGCAAAGUUAUUCCCAGACCUUCAAGGAAUGACCAAGCCAAUAACUUCGAAAAUGCAAACAAGCAUUAGGCGAUGUUACCGAUCGAGGGUGAGACUAGCAAAUAUUCAGCUCAUUAGGAGCCGAGUUUAACACAGGCACUCGGUCAGAUGACACAAGUCCUACAAACGUUGGACCAAAACAGUCAUCAAAGUACUGCUAGACUAGACGUGGUACUGGCCGCUAUUAUGGUCUCCAAUGAAAAUAUUGCCAGAAUUGGACAACUUUUGGCUCGAAAUGAGCAAACUUAUGGAGGUCCACAAGGACCUCUAACAAUGCCGGUGACACAAACCCUGAUUGUGCCAACUGCCGCGCAAACGCAGCUGCAGAUGACACCCUUCCAGGCUGUGUAACAAACGAACAAAUGUAAACACCGGUCCACAGCCGAAGAUAGUGUGACACCCCAACUUCCCAGGGGGUCACCCAUCCUAGAACUACUCUCGUCCUAUCACGCUUAACUCUCUUAACCUCUUGAGCCUUGCCACCACCCAAAAUGCUUAAGCCGGGUUAAGAGUUUAGCCCUAUUAUAUCUUAUAUAUGGGACUAUCUGGGGUCUCACAAUCUUCUCUCCUUUAAGCCCUGACGUUCUCGUCAGGCUCAGACUCACAAGUACCAGGCGAUGUGAGACUUGUCUAGCUAACCUUGUCAUUCCGACCUCGGCUUAGCCGAGACUCAUCUCACACUUCCGGCUGGUAAUUGGCUCUGAUACCAAUUGUGACACCCCAACUUCCCAGGGGGUCACCCAUCCUAGAACUACUCCCGUCCUAACACGCUUAACUCUCUUAAUCUCUUGGGCCUUGCCACCACCCAAAAUGCUUAAGCCGGGUUAAGAGUUUAGCCCUAUUAUAUCUUAUAUAUGGGACUAUCUGGGGUCUCACAGAUAGCAUGGGGAUUACCUCCUCCCCCAUCCUUUCUAGUCUAUCAACCCCAAAACGGGGACAUGAGGGCUAGAGGGCAAGGCCCCAACAUAUUGCAGGGACUCAACCUUGCAGCGCAAAACUAUGGACUUCCUCCUGGGCCAAAUGCGGUUCAGGCUCUAGUUCCUCCUCCAGCGAUAGGAAACAAUGAGCUAUAUGCUCAGAUUGAAAAAGCAAUUCGAAAUACUUUCAGCGUAGGGGCUAGGCUGACAAUGCAACUCGUAUUUAGAUCCGCUUAUCUCGCUAACAUCGAUAAGGAACAUCAUUAUCUGGCAAAUUAAAAAAUACCAAAAUUUGACAAGUUUUCUGGUGAUGAAAUUGAGAAUAUGGUCGAACAUAUAGCUCGGUUUACGGCCCAGUAUAGAGAAGCGGUCGCGGAUCCAUUUUUAAAAUUCCAAUUGUUCAAUACGUCAUUGACUAAAAUGGCAUUUACCUGGUAUACAAGUUUACUAGCCAAUUCUGUCUGAGAUUGUGACGAGAUGGAAAGAAAAUUUUAUGAACAAUUUUAUAGAUCAGAACUGGAAUUAUCGGUAGUCAAUUUGGCCAUUACCGGUAAAAAUCGGGUGAAAUGGUUAAAGAAUAUUUGAACCGUUUCAAAACGGCGAGGAGUCGGUGUUUUGUAGGAAUGUUGGAGUUUGAAUUUGCCAAAAUGGCAUUUAAUGAUCUAUAUUUCAAAAUAAAAGAUCAUUUUGAAGAUAAAUAUUUUUCGAACUUGUUCGACUUGGGCUUUCAUGUUGCCCAACAUGAACAAUUUCGAAAAGAAAAUAAUGAUGAUCGACCACUAUGGAGCCGAAACAAAAAAUGGAACAAAGGGAAAGAGAAGAAUAUCUCUUUCGUUGAAGAAAGUUUGACUUGGGAUAGGCUGAAUACCUCGAGUAAGACCGAGGACUCAGCUGACGAAGUGGCGGUAUAUGCGGCAAAAAUGGUGAAAACCCGACAACUUUAUAAGUGUACGCUGCUUAAACCAGCAAAGGCUAGCGAGACAAGUGCGAGUGCCAACGUAUAUUUAUUCUUUCCAUGUCGCCAAAACUGAUAAGAUAUUCGAUCGGUUACUAAAAGAUGGGAGAAUUAAACUCCAGGAGGGAAAAAUAAUACCCUCCGGGUAGGAAUUAAAAAAAAGAAAAUAUUGCAAAUGGCAUCAUUCUUGGAGCCACAGAACUAAUAUGUGCACAGCCUUCAAGAGGCAGAUUCAGAAAGAAAUAAAUGAAGGUCGGCUAGUAUUUGCCGACCAAGAAAAUAAAAGUGAUAUGAAAGUUGACCAAAAUCCUCUUCCUUCUCAGGUCAACAUGGUGGAUAUUAAGGGCAAGAAACUACUAGAAGAGAAGGUCUAGGAAAGCAUUGCCAGUGCGAAGAGAGCACUUCGACCCUGCAUCAGAUGCAAGACUGAGAUGACACAUCGAGAUUGGGAGGCUAUAAUUCAAGAAAAAAAGUUAUAUGGAGAGUGAAAAGAAUCCAUGACUUCCCCCAAAGAAUGGAAAGACUUACCAAAGGCCGAUGGGAAUUCAGACGAAUGUUCAGAAGAAGCCUCGAAUAAAUCUAAAGAAGAGGUGGAAUCCAAGAAAGACAAAAGGGAUCUCUUGAUCCGAAAAGUCUUGGACGAUUAUUACCAUUCAAGAGAGAGAAUAAGCCGAGGGGAUUACCCAAAACAACCCUUCAGCGUCCAGUACAAACACCCGGGAUAUCGGCCCAUAUAGCACCAGCAGUCUAGGUCAAGACCUGAACCAAAAUUUGAAGGAAUAAUCAAGGGGGAUAUAGAAUUUCUCGAUCACAAGUAAAUGAACGAGCUCGGCAUCCAUCCAUGGCGGAGAUCGUAGGAAAGAAGAGAAAUAUUGAGGGAGCACCUCAGGGCGUCAAGGUACCAGCCAAUGUACCGACUAACCAGUGGAUCACGGUAAAGCACCGACUAGAUAGCAUGGGCUGGUGUUAACGAAGACAAAAGCAGCGACAGCAAAGAAUACAAGUCGAGAUGAGAAAUCAUUGGGAAGAGGCAAAAGGGAUAAAGUCGAAUACAUAGAGACGACCUGAGCAGCGGCCACUUUAUCGGCUUAUGAAACAUGACAACAAAGUGGGCGAUCCAAACCUCGUACCAUGGUUAAAAUCUAAGAUUGAGCGAUCGGUUGCAGUAGAGCCGACGAAGAAGGUCGUUCGAAAAAAACUAGAGAAGAUUGCUUCUCUUGACACCAUUAUUAACCGAGAUAGGUGACCUCCUAAGGAAAGGAAAAUUCGGCCGAAGAGUGAUUCUUCAGCCGAAUUGGCGAAAGAAUCUGAGGAACACCUAUCAAGAGAAAGAAAUGAGCAAGCAAACCAAUUGGCUCAAUCGGCUUCAGAAUAUAAAGAGCCGAAAAGAAAUAGUCAGAUCAGAAUGGGAAAAAGAUAGCUAUCGUUGGUUUAUACACGAAAGCCAAUGAUGAUACCUCCCGUUGAAGUACAAGAUGAUUGGAGAAUACCCGUGGUUGAGUUUCUCAAUGAUCCCAAUAGAUGAGUCAGUUAUCAGUUACGAAAAAGACCACUUGGCUAUUGUCUAUUACAUAGCCAACUGUAUAAGAGAACAGCGAAAGAAGUGCUCCAGAAAUGUUUAGGAGCUGAUGAAGCUUUGAUAGUCAUGGGUGAAACUCAUGAAGGAUUAUGUGGGGCAUAUCUGGCCGAAAAAAGAUUGAGAUGGAUAGUUCGGCAGCUGGGAUAUUAUUGGUCAAUCAUGCAUGAAGAUUGCAUAAAGUAUGCCAAGGAAUGUCAAGAGUGCCAGUUUUACAGCUCGGUACAAAAAGUGUGGGCUUUUGAGAUGCAUGCAAUUAUCAAGCUAUGGCCUUUUCGUGGUUGAGCUAUGAAUCUGAUUGGAGAAAUUCAGUCGAAUUCAUUGACUAGACAUAAAUUUCUAAUAGUACCCAUAAAUUACUUUACGAUGUGGGUGGAAGCAAAAUCUAAGAGAAUGGCCAUUCAAAAAGACAUUGUAGAGUAUGUGGAAGACUACAUCAUUCAUCAUUUUAGGAUUCCUAAGACGAUGACAGCCAACCAAGGAACAAUGUUCAUAGGGCAACAAUUCUCGAGGUUCUUGGAGUCAAGAGAGAGCAAGCUGCUUCAUUCAUCACCAUAUUAUGCACAGGCCAAUGAAUAGGCCGAGGCAGUGAACAAAGUUAUUAUAAAUCUUAUGAAACGGCAUAUUGGAAAACAUCCAAGUGGAGCGAGAAGUUCUCCGAGGUAUUAUAGGCAUGCCGGAUGACCGUCAAGACAGCAACAGGAGUCACACCCUUUCGAUUGGUCUACAGUCAUGAGGCUGUAUUACCGGCUAAAAUAAUGAUUCCCUCGUUUAGAGCUGAACGACAAAAAGAGUUGAUAUCAAGAGAAUAUGAGAUCUUCAUGUAUGAAAAUUUUAACAAAAUAGAUGAGGUUCGGCUGUUGGUGCUUGACUAUCUGCAAGCUUAUCAGAGCCGAGUAAGCAGUACAUACAAUAAAAAAAUUAAGGCUAAACUUUUCACAGUUGGAGAUUUAGUCCUAAAUUUGUUUUACCGAUCGACCGAAAAGUCUGAAUAUAUGAAAAAUGGUCUCCAAAUUAGGAAGGCCCAUUCCAAAUAUACAAAGUUGUCAGAGGCAAUGCAUACUUUCUAAAGACAUUAGAUAGAUCAGAAAAUGACAAGCCGAUUGAUGAAAAAUAUUUAAAAAAGUAUUAUCCUUUCAUGUGAAAAGGCGAAUGAAAAUGUCACUAUAAAACAAACAAAAUAAAAGUCAGAAUAUAUUACAACCGAGGUAUAAAUAGAAAGCCGAUUAAGAUAAUAAAUCCUUGAGUUGAUUCUAUUCGGCUUCCAAGUUAGACUGAGCAAGAUCGAUUGUGUGUUUCCUUCAUUUCAUCAUAGGAUGGAGUUUAUAGAGUUGGGAGAGCUAAUCAUGUAUCACCAUUCCUUCAUCUUUCUUGCCCUGGUAUUGAGUUUGCAAGAAAACAUGCUCUUCAGAUGUAUGGGCCAAGGUUUUCACGGCUUCGGCAAGUUCCUCUCUGAGGUAAGCAAUGCGCUGCCGAAGAGCCGAUUCCUGAUCUUUCAAAACAUCAUCCCGCUUGUUGUAGUAGGUUAAUAGAGCUACUACCUCACUAGCCUUUGCCUUGAAGGAGCCGACUUGCGAGAAAUGGGCAUUCAAAGCAACAUGCUCGGUAGAGAGUGCUUGCUGUCAAGCCAAAAAAGAAGAAACAUUAGCACACAAAGUUUCCGCGAAAUAUCAACCUAAAUAAGACAAAUCAGGCUAAUCUAGGAGGUUGAGGAGAAGUGCUCCGAGCCAAUCGAAUUGUAUCAAGCUCCAAGCCAAAGUAGGAAGACCGCAAUUGUACAGUCUCAAACACUCAUCCAGUUUUUGUUGAGUGUCAGCCGAUGAAAUGGUGGGGAGGUCUUCUCCUUCAUUGGACAUAGGGCUCUAAGCAACCAAUUCUUGGAGAGAAAUGGCUAGAACAUCUGCCAAUCCGGGCGUCGAGAUAGCAACUGAAGUGGAAGUCUCAACUGGAGGCUCGUCGGAGAAAACUGGACCAACUCUCUCCCUCAUCCUGGUUUUGUCUUCUACUUGUUUCCUCUUCUCCUCAUCUUUCUUUUUCUCUUCUUCUUUCUUCUUUUUCUCCGCUUAUUUUUACUUCUUUUCUUCUUCUUCUUCUUUUUUCUCCUCUUUUUUUUUUUUUCUUUCUCUUCCACUAUUUUUUUUUUCUUCUUGUUUCUUUCUUUCUUUCUCCCUCUCUUCCUUACUUAUCUCGUCUUUCCGCUUUCUCUCUUCCGCUUGUUUUUUCUCUUGGUACAUCUCCCGACGAAAUUCCCUAUCCCGUUGGAGAAUCACUGACUUAAGUGCCGACAAGAAUCUAGUUCGAGGAACUAUUGCUGGAAUUCCGCCAAAGGCUGGCUCCUUCAGUUGUUCGACUGUCGACUCAUGCGGUAAAGAGUGAAGAGGAGAAGGAAAAUCGAUUAGAAUAGGCUGAGGUGUAUCUCGCUGAUGGAGGAGUCUAUUGUGGGCCUAUUUCGGCAGGUAUCGACUCGACAGAAGCCUUUGCUCGAACUGACUCGAACCCCUCUUCGACAGAAGCAGUGGCGUGAACCGAAGACAUAGGACCAGUGGUCGGUUCUUUGACAAGUGACAUGCUUUCUUCAGCCGACGCAGGUGAGGGAGGAGCGAAUUUUGACUGUAAUUAUUUUUUGCUGCUUUUGGUUCGACGGAGAAAUUGAAGAAACAGAUCCAAUCAAUCGCUUCUCUAACUUGGACAAUAGAGCGGGAACACGUACCGACUAAACAGAAUGAAAAGAAUAAAAACAAGUUGAAUAGAAGUAGAAGUACUAAGAGAGACGAAAUAUACGACUGACGGAUGAGGCAAGAUCUCUAGAUCCUUGUCAGACUCCUCACCUAAAUCCUUUUGUUCUGGAGAGUCAGGUGCGACUUCUUUACUCAUAGAAGCACCAACUAAGGAGCAAACAAAAGAAAUUAAAGAAAGAAAGAAAAAAUAAUCGAAUUGAAUCGAGAGUAGAUAUAAAUACUUUCUUCUGUAUGGAGGAUUUUUGUGAAAGAAAUAAGAUAAGGUCUUAAAAAAGAUAUAAUUGCAGAAAUAUUCCCAAGCACCUCAGAAGUGACAAUCAGUCACCCCUGUGUGAUUUGACCAAAAACCCAUAGGGGUAAAAAAGUGCCGGAGACGAUUCCUAUAGCCAAGAGUCGAUCUGCCUUGACUGCGCUCUUCGUGGGAGGAUGGCUACUGGCGGAGUUAACUGUAAAGAACUUGGAUAAAGCCGGGAUUGCUUGGACAAAUCCAAAUUGACGCACCAUAUAAUGGGGCAAUAAACUUUAGUACUCGGCGUCAACUUGGAACGAGUCUUCAAGCCAACGUGAAAAUCUCGUGGAGCCAAGAAUGAGUACCAAACCUCAAAAUAUUCGCUGGCGAAGUAUGAGGCCUUCUGAUCCUGGACAGCCUCCUACCGAGCGAUGAAUUAGACUGGGCUGGUUAGUCGCUCUCCAAAAAGGGACCAGUUGAUAGAAUGCCGAUGGUCUGUGGCAUAGAAAAGCCGAAAGUAUGUCGGAAAAUCAACAGGUUGGCCCCAAGUAAAGGGCUACGGGCAGCCGAGAGCCAGACUAUAUGUGUCAAAUUAAGGAGCCGAAUCUAGAUCGAGGGGGGUUUGGCACAAAACUGGAAAAUAAAUUUGCAAACAAAGUUGCAAAAACCAGAGAAUGUCGCAACAAGAGUCGAUCACCACACUGUUCUUCGAUGGCAGUGGCUUGAUCGACUCAAAGAUCUCUCGAUAGAGGAAAGAUUGAAAGGACGAAUGGAGUGCCAACUUCUCGCCAUAGGCCAACGCAACGGCAAUGGGGACAAAAUCUCGGUUGAUCUUCUACGAACAAGUGCCAAAAAGAUUGUGGCAGAGUCAGUAAAGGAGAAAAGCAAUACGCUCCUUCUUCGUGACCGGAGCAGGAGCCUGACCGGCAAACCGUCGCAUAAAUUUAGUGUAGACAAGGUCUGCCUUGGGAUCAAGAUGGACCUCAAACUCCGCCACACCAUCGAGGUUAUAGGUCAUAAAUAAGAUGACACCAUAAGGGUAGAGACCAAUGAUCGCCGCUAUAUCGAAAAGGGUCGGGAUGAAAGGCCCUUCCUUGAAGAAGAAAGUAUUAGAAAUUGGAGACCAGAAACAUAGAGCCGCAAAUUGGCGUAAGACACCUCAACUCAGUUCAACCAAGCCAAAAGGCGUCCGAAACGCGAGGCCAGGUACGAAGAUUUUUUCCUAAUGGCUUCAAGGUAGACCAAAAAGGGAGAUGAAUGACAUCGGCCAUUAGGAAAAGCCCUUCGGCCGAGAAAGAAAAGGCAUCAGGUGUAGGGAGGCGCCAUAAAAGAAAGGCCAAGCACAAAUCGAUAUGGGUCCAACUCGACAUACUGUCUGAGAAGAGUAUAGUCGAGAGACAGAGAAGAAGGAAGAGAAAGAAUCGGUGUCAUCGAAGGAGACUUGGAAUCGAAAGGAAGAAACAGAGGUUUGAAGAAGAAAACCCUUAAAAAAAAUGAGGAAAAUGGAAAAAGAGAAGACGAAGGGUUGCAAGAAAAGCGAAGCUGUUAUGAUGACGAAGUGACGGUAGCUAUUAAUGCCCUAGAUGAGACAAAAGGGUACAAGAAAUUAUAGCCGUCAAAGAAUGAAAUCAAGUACAGAGGUACGGCUAGGAAGAAUGGGCGAUGUAGAGCGUUCAAUCUCAACGUUCUAUAGCGGCUUUCAAUCUUGGCCAUUGCAAAAAGUGACGCCAAUCACCCGAAAUAGUUGUUCGAGAGGUUGCCGAGGGGGUAUUGUUGGCGCCAUAAAAACGGUGCCACGUGGUAAGUUAGCCUACACCACGUGGAGGGCUCCCAAAGCGAAAAGUGGAGAAGCAUGUGGUGCGCCAGGUUCUGAGAAGAAUACGCCCAAAACCGAACUUUGGUUAAGCGAGAUGCAGUUGAGACUGGGCAGGAGUGGCCCGAAGAGGGACCUGACCGAGAUACACCUCAUAAUGGGGAAUAACUGAAUAACGACAGGUGGGACUAUAACUAUACAAAAUACACUUUCUAGAAGGGUCUUUUUUUUCCAACGAACAAGAAGACCAUUCUAUUUCCAGUAUUUUUCUGCUUUUAUAGCAGUAGUCUACUUGUAGUAUUCAAUUUCUCUCGCAUUUUUCUUGUGAGACCCCAGAUAGUCAUAUAUAUAAGAUGUAAUAGGGCUGGAACUCUUAACCCGACUUAAGCAUUUUGGGUGGUGUCUAGUCCCAAGAGAUUAAGGGAGUUAAGCGUGCUAGGACGGAACUAAUCCUGGGAUGGGUAACCUCCUGGAAAAUUUGGGCAUCACAUUUUUAUUUUUCUAUGAGUAGUUUUUAAGAUAGAAUUCUUUGUAACAAUAAAACUCAUCAUUCUGUAAACUUCUUUCGCUUUGAAAUACAUAUCGGAAUCACUCAGCUCAUUUCAGCCGAAUAUAUAGUGGAGUGCUUGAAUUUGGAUGAGCGGAUCGCUCAUCAACCAAUCGCUUGAUUUAGUCUUGGGCUCACUCUCGAGGGUCACUUUCGGAAACCGUUCCUUUCUCUACUCGUUUCCCGAAGCGGAUCUCUGACUGAGUCAGUGGUCCAGAAAUCACUACAACAAAAACAGUCUAUAGCGACACUUUUAAAUAUCGGUACAGGUCAAAAAAAGUACUGCUAGUUAAAUUACCGACAGUUUUGAAUAGUGUCGCUAUAUGUGGGUUCGCUAGGUAUAUAGUGACAGUUAAAGAGUAUUGCUAUAGGCUAAAAAGAGUGCUGCUAAUUUACCAACACCUAUUUAAGCAUUUAACAACCGCCGGAACUCUACCUCGUUGGCUGCGGUGGCGGAGGAGGACAAGAGGGAAGAGAUCUUCAUCUAAGAUUUCAGUAGAUUAAGUGAAGGGAGAAUGGGGAUGGUAAUUGAUUUUUUUUUUUCUUUUUUAUUUGUAAUAGGCCGAAUGGGCUAGGUAGGGUGGGUUGAGUAGAGUAAUCUUUUAUUUUUGGUUGGAUUGAGCUUUAUACUUAGUCAUUAGUAUAUUUUUUUUUAAGUUUUGAUAUAAAUGAGACACUUAUAUAAAAAUGUUCUAAACAUGUGUCUCUAUAAUUUUAUUUUGUUGCAGUGAAUUCGACUCCCAACAGCUCAAUUUUUAAUAAUGACUAGUGAAAAGUACCAUUGAACAUGUCCAAAGGCCAUGGCUCUUGGUGAAAUAUGAAUAUUUCUGUUCAGUAACUUUAGUUUGACAAAUUUAAUGUCUGAUAUGGUACAUGCUAUUAUUAAAUUCUACAAUACUUCACUAAUCAAUAUAUUUUAGUUCUGUUUGAAAUUCAGUUGGACAAGUUAUAUUUCUUAGAGGCGUGCUACAAAUACAAUACACCACUUAGAUCAUAGCUAUUAACUUUUUAAAAAAUUAACGGCUGAGAUGUCACUUUGACUUCAUAAGAACCGACUAUUGAAGCCCGGUACGAGUCAUCCAAUAGGAAUAAAAAAUUACUAGUGAUCCGCGCAAUGCAGCGAAUAAAUAUAUUAUAAUUUUUUAAAAUUUAAAUUCGAAAUUUUAGAUCCUUAUAUUUCUAUAAGUUAUUUUGUAAAGAGUAGAAUACAUUUACUUUAAAAGUUUUAGUAAUUUUAAACUAUAUUAAAAAGUAUGAAGAUUCUUUUUUGAACAUUUCAAUUUUUUACACUGAAGCAUCACGAUAGAUAUCAAAACACAUUUAUUUCUGACAACUUUAUAUAGAUGGCUUAUUAUAUAGAUAGUGACGUGUAUGUUUAAUAAGAAACAAUAGAAAAUAUAUUUAGCAAACAAAUUCUAAUAUAUUCAUUAGAUUGCGCUAAGUAUGGCGUUAGGUUGCGUAAUAAUUGAUCAUUGCAAAACUUCUAAACCCUAAUAUAAACAAAUCUACCAAAAUUUUCAAUACAAUCAAAUCAUUAUACAAUGGAGAUAUUAUGAUUUGUAAACAAAAAUAAAUAUAAAAAUUUAUAACAUAGUAACCAAAAUAUUAAAAGCAAAUAUUAAAAAAAUAUAGAAAUCCUAAAAAAAAAUUAUCUUAAAUUUGAAGAGUCGAAUCUCACGUAAUUUAAAAUAUACUGUACGGUAGAAAAAUCUGAUUAAACAAAUAAAACAUCAAAUUCAAAUCAAAGAAAAACAUUUCAAAAUAUAGUUAAUCGUUACAGGCAGAUACGGUCAAUUUUCUUGAGACAAAAUAAACAGUAUUUAGUAUAUCAUUUUUUAUUCAUCCAAAAUGAGUAUGAAUACAACCCUUUAUAUAGACUCUAAAAUAACAUUUAAUAUUCUAGGAUGACUUUUCAUUUUCUUGUAUUAAAAUAUAUGACUUUUUAUAUUUCCAACUUUUUAAAUUCUUAAAUUUAUUAAGUUAUCCAAUAUUUCAACUUCUAAUUAAUUUUAAAAAAUAAUAAAAAAAUUGGUGGGUCCGACACCAUUAAUUUAAGGGGUAGUAGGGCCACAUUCCCAAAUCAACGGGAUGGUGAUCUAUCCAUAGAAAAAAAAAAUGAUGAAUGAAAAAAUUCAAUUAAUUUGAAAAAAUAAAAAAAAUAGAUGACUUUUCAUAUUUCCAACUUUUGAAAUUCUUCAAUAUAUUAAGUUAUCCAACCUUUCAACUUCUAAUUAAUUUUAAAAAAAUAAUAAAAAAAUUGGUGGGACCCACACCAUUAAUUUAAGGGGUAGUGGGGUCUAUCCCCAAAUUAGAGGGAUGAUAAUCUAACCAUAAAACAAAAUGAUAAAAAAAAAAUUCAAUUAAUUUGAAAAAAUAAAAAAAUUAAUGGGACCCACACUCCUAAAUUAAAGAGGUUGGGCCACAUCACUUUUAAGAACAUAAGAAUUCAUAGUUUUAUAUAGAUAUAGAUUUUGGUGCAAUGAAAUUCCUCAAUCAUAUCUUAAGAAUGGUAUUAUGAACUUUUAUAUUUCUAAAUUUAUUCCUAAUUUAUUCCUAACUAGCGUAGGGACCUACGCUAUGCGACGGAUAAAAAUAUUUUAGUAAAAAUCUAAAGAGUACAGAUUUAAUAAACAAAUGUUAAAAAGAAACAGAAGAAAUAAUUAAAAUAUUAUGAAAGAUAAUAAAUAAUGAGAGAAAAACUAAAGAAGCUUAAAUUCACAUUUAACUAAUCAUAUUUAUCUAUUCUAUCAUCUUUCCUAACUCAAAUUAGAUUUCUUUUAAAAGCCAAUCAUUAUGCGGGCGGUUUUAGAAGAUGAGGGGUCUUGGAGGUUGGAAAAUGAGAAGGGAACGGUUUUGAAAGAUGAGGGGUCUCAGGAGGUUGAGAGAUGAGAGGGGAGCAGUUUUAGGAAAAGGAGGUCACGUCACGUCAGCAAGAUAUUGAGAAUUCAUAGAUUAGUAUAGAUACACCACUUAGGGACUGUUUGGUUACAUGCAUUUCCAACCGCUAUGCAUGCAUCUAUUAAUUUUUUGUUUGGUUUGGUGUAGUUAGGUCCAAUUGCUGCCGUUGCAUCUAUACGGAAAGGCCCAACUGCAGCAGUUGGUACUGCAGCCAAUUUUGACUGCAGUACCAACUGCUGCAGCUGGGCCGGAGUCAACUCACCCAUUAAAAAAAAACAAAGUGUGAUUUCCUUUUCAUUCGUUUCUUUUUUAUUUUUUUUUAAAAUACAUAUUCAUGAAAUCGGAUAGGAUUUAGUAAUAUUUGUUAGGGUCAAUAAAUUUUUUUCAUACACUUCUUAUUUUUCAAUCAUCUAGUUUAAUAAUAUUUUUAUUUUUAUUUUUUACCAAAUUUAUAUAUUUAUAUUUAAAAUUUAUUAAAUUCAUACUUAAGUUUAUAAUAUAUAAAUUAUAUAUAGAUUUAAAAGUCUUAAUUAAUAAUUAAAACAUGAUUACGUCAUACUCAGAAGAAGUAAUCUCACAUUUCUAUCAAAAAAUUGACAGAAUUUAUAAAUAUAAAUCUCAACUGCAGACUACCAAACAGAAGAAAUAUAACUACAGUAGUUGCAACUGUAUAAACCAAACAGACUAGGUGUAGUUAUGACUGCAGCAUUUAUAACUGUAUGUAAUUUUAAUUACACUAUUUUUAUAACUACAUCCAACCAACCGGCCCUUUAAUGAUUUUUGGAGAGAGAAAUCAACUCCUUUCUUUUGAGGUUAUGGUGUUACGGUGUCGAUUUUGAGAGAACUCUCUAUCUAAUUACACCAUGUUAUUUAAAAAGAAAAAAAAAACUUUUAAAUAUAGACAUUCGAAUUGUGAAUUUAAUAUUGGAAGAAAUUAAAAUUUUGAAAUUUGAAUCAAAUUCAAAAUAUCCUAACAUAUAUAGUACCAAUUAAAAUAAAACUUUCAAUUCAAAUUACAUUUCCAUUUCAAUUUAAAGAAAGAAGUUGGUUUCGUAAGUUAUAGAGCAUAUUAAAUUCAAAUUUAAAAUUAAUAUUCAAAAACAGAAACUUUAUAUUUAACUAAAUAAUAAAAGUUAGGUUUAUAAGUAAUAGUACAAAUUAAAUUCGAAUUUAAAAUUCAAAUUUAAUUUUCAAAAAUAAAAUUCUUUAUUUCGAAAUAAAUAAUAAAUUUUGAAUCCAAAUUGUUAAUUCAAUAUCGAAACAACAUAAAAUUUCGAAAAUCUUAAUCAAAUUCAAAUUUGUCUUGACAAUAAAUUCAAAUUGAUAAUAAAAACUUUUGAUUCAAUUUUGAUCAAAAACUUACAUUUCAAAUUAAAUUUUAAAUUCAAAUUUAGUUUAUUUAUUGAGGAGUUAGCUACUUAACAAAUUAGCCACUAUCUAAUUACAUAAGUCGGGAAAUCAAGUAAAGAAACAAAAAAUUGUAGGGCACAUAAUCGGCUAGUAAGGAAACAAAUUAGCCAUUUCAAUUCAAAUUUAGCAUUCCAAUUUCAACCUAAAGUGAGAAGUUGGUUUCAUAAAUACUAGCGUAAAUUAAAAUAAAAUUAUAUUUUUCAAUUUAAUUUUCAAACAUAUAAACUUUAUGUUCAAAUAAAUAACUAAAAUUGGGUUUAUAAGUAACAAUAUAAAUCAAAUUCGAACUUAAAAUUUAAAUUGAAUUCAAAAAUAAAAGUUAUAUUUAAAUAAAUAAUAAAUUUUGAAUUCAAAUUUGUUAAAUCAAUAUUGAAGAGUUCAAAAUUUUAAAAUAAUGGCUUAAUUACACUAUACUAGCUUGUACUUCACAAAAUUUUCACUUUCUACUGUGUACUUUUUUUCUUCUUUUUUUUUUUCACCGAAGGCACCACUCAACCAUCUUUUUUUCAAUUCCUAGGAUUAUUGGGGUGUCACAAACUCUCCACGUUAAGGCCCUGGCGUCCUUGUUAGUCCAAUCACACACACAGCCCAAGAUCACCAGGCGAUGUGAGACUCGUCUCGCUAGCCCGUCAUCCAGACCCUAGCUCAGCAGAAACUCGCCACACAUGUCCAGUUGAUGAACCGGCUCUGAUACCAAAUGUAACGACCCGACCCGCUAGCAAUAAUAACUCGUUGGGCCCAACCACCAGCCUAAAAUGCUUAUGCCAGUUAUUAUUAGCAGCGUGGAGGUCUCAUAUAAACUGAUCGGAAUCAAUAUCCUAUCCGAUGUGGGAUUAUUGGGGCGUUACAAACUCUCCCUGUUUAGACCCUGACGUCCUCGUCGGGUCCAAACCAGAUCACAGACAGACAGACCAGAACCAGGACCAUUACCAGGCGAUCUGAGAUUGUAGAGGUGGCUCCUACGGGUUCAAGAGGUGGCUCACACCAAACCCGUUGGUGUAGCACUUUGUCCCGCAUAGCACUUAGUUCUCACACUUCCGGCUAGUAUUUGCUCUGAUACCAAUUGCAACAAUCCGACCUGCUAGCAACAAUAACUCGUUGGACCCAAACCACCGGUCCAAAAUGCUUAAGCCCAGUUAUUAUUACUAGUGUUUAAGUCUCUUAUAAACCCAAUGACAACAAUCUCAUUCCCAUCCGAUGUGGGAUUAUUGGGGUGUUACAGACUCCCCCCAUUAUUUCCAUCCGAUGUGGGAUCCGUUAAGGCCCUGACGUCCUCGUCAGUCCAAUCACACACAUCCGAUGUAUCCGAUGUGGGAUUAUGUAUCCGAUGUGGGAUUAUUGGGGUGUUACAGACUCCCCCCGUUAAGGAUCUGACAUCCUCGUAAGUCCAAUCACACACACAGCCCAAGAUCACCAACCGAUGUGAGACUCGUCUCGCUAGCCCGUCAUCCAGACCCUGUCUCAGCCGAGACUCGCCACACAUGUCCAGCUGGUGAACCGGCUCUGAUACCAAAUGUAACAACCCGACCCGUUAGCAACAAUAACUCGUUGGGCCCAAACCACUGACCCAAAAUGCUUAAGCCCAGUUAUUAUAACUAGCAUGUAGGUCUCAUAUAUUCUAAUCAGAAUUAGUUUCUCACCCGAUGUGGGAUUAUUGGGGGCGUUACAAACUCCCCCUGUUUAGACCUUGACGUCCUCGUCGGGUCCAAACCAGAUAGCGAUGUGAAAUUCUAGAGGUGGCUCCUACGGGUUCAAGAGGUGGCUCCCACCAAAUCUGUUGGUGUAGCAUUUUGUCCUGCAUAGCACUUAGUUCUCACACUUCCGGCUGGUAUUUGCUCUGAUACCAAAUGUAACGACUCAGCCCACUGGCAAUAAUAGCCCAACACUGGCAAUAAUAACUCGUUGGGCUGUUGGCCGCAUAGCACUUAGUUCUCACACUUCCGGCUGGUAUUUGCUCUGAUAUCAAAUGUAACGACCCAGCCCACUGGCAAUAAUAACUCGUUGGGCCUUACCAACAGCCCAAAAUGCUUAAGUCUCAUAUAUUCUAAUCAGAAUUAGUUUUCCACCCGAUGUUGGACUAUUGGGUAGAAUUAGUUUCCCACCCGAUGUGGGAUGUGGGACUAUUGGGGACGUUACAAACUCCCGACGUUAGUCUAAUCACACACAGUUCAAGAUCACCAGGCGAUGUGAGACUCGUCUCGCUAGCCCGUCAUCCAGAUCCUGGCUCAGCCGGGACUCGCCACACAUGUCCAGCUGGUGGACCAGCUCUAAUACCAAAUGUAACGACCCGACCCGCUAGCAAUAAUAACUCGUUGGGCCCAAACCAUUGGCCCAAAAUAUUUAAGCCCAGUUAUUAUAACUAGCGUGUAGAUCUCAUAUAUUCUAAUGAGAAUUAGUUUCCCACCCGAUGUGGGACUAUUGGGGGCAUUACAUAAAGAAUAAUAAAAUACAUAAAAAUUAAAAAAAGGAAAUAAAACAAUAGAAGCCGUAAAUGAGUAUAGCAUAUAGCAUCAAUUUAUAUUUUUUUCUACUAUUUAAUUAGUUCUUUGAAAAAAAAUUGUUAAAUUUUGUCUCAACUAAUAGAUUUGUUAACAAUAGUGUAGAGAUUGGUCAAAUUCUUUUAACCAAUGCCUUUUGAAGGAAUUUGGUUUAAAUUCUUUCCUCUCAAAAUCAUUAAAAAGAUGCUAGAUAUCAUAAAUACUUCAUAAAAUUUCAAUGUAUUCUAACUCAUCCAUCAAACCGUCCCAAAUUGGACUAUUUAUAAUGAUUGAUUGGAUGGAAUUGCUAGUUUAACAAUUAAAUGUAAUUCAAAUAAGUUAAAAAUUUGUUAGAAAAUUCUUUCUUAGAGAGAAUGGUGAUUUUGACUAGGCUUGACAAACGAACGAAUUGAAUAAUCCGUAGGUGGAUUAUUAUAUUCGCAGGUCAUAUAGGUAUAAGUAAAAUUUAUCCAUAAAUUUUUGCAUAGUCAAUAUUUUUUUACCCGUACACACCCAUGAGCGGUAGGACGAGUAUGCAGGUUACCUGCAAAGACUUCUUUUUUCGCUCCUAUACUUUCCAAAUCAAAACAGAUAAAUAUAUUUUUUAAAAGCAUGAAAAACAUAAUUUAUUUAGUAAAGUAUCACAACAUAUAAACAAUAUAAAAUUUUAAAAUGCAUAAGUUAUAUAUAAAAGUAUUUUAUCAUUCCAAAUUUUUGAGAUACAAAAUUAAUUAAGUUUUCGUGAUUAUAUAGUCAAUAUUAUAAAGAUUACACUUUUUAAUUAAAAAAUAUAUAUGCAGGUAUUCGUAGGUAUAAGCGCGUUGCCCAAAAUGCCCACAAUUUAACGGAUACCCACCAAUUUUACUUAUAAUUUUUUGGGUAGGAAAAACUAGUAUCCAUAUCUGCAAAUUUGCUAGUAAUAUGCGGAUACCCGUGAGUACGGAUAGAGAUUGUCAAGUCUAACUUUGACAGAGACUAGAAUACUUUUUAAAAGCAAACCGAUGCUUUUACUUCCGCACCAUUUUCAGUGAUGGAUCAUCAAAACUGAUGAUCGGCGCCAUUACAUGAGCUAGACUAUUUGAACUUCGCAAAAAUUGAAUUUUGUAAUUUUAAGAUAUCAUUUAGGUCAAAUGAUUGAAGCCUAUUUUUCUCUCAAAAAAAAAAAAAAAAAACAGAUAGCUCGCUAUCUUUCUCUUAAAAAAAAAAGAAAGAUGGUAUUUGCCUAUUCACCAUGUGUUGUCGAAUUCAUCUUAUAUUAAUCAUAUAAAAUUGUCAAUAUUUAAACCACUUGAAUACAAAACAAAUAAUUUCGAAAAAUUACAAAAUUUGAUUCCUAAAAGAUUUAAAUAAUUUAGAUCAGGUCUCGAUGGUCUUCGGAUGCCCCAUCGCGGAAAACAAUGACCUCAUUUUUCUAUUCCUAUAAACAGGAUGGUCGAGUAAAAGUUAAAAUAGAUGAAUGGAUGAUGGAUUCGUGAAUACGCUACACUCAAGGAACAAUUUCUCAUUGCCAAAUGAAUUUUUAGUGUUCUUAAUUAUUAUGGCAUGUGAGAUUUGCACACACAGCAAGAAUAUUCACAUUAAUUAAUCUACAUUAUCUUAAUUGGUGCUAAUUAAGGAUAGACUUCUUGAUGAUGAACAAGAGUUUAUUUGAUCACAAAGACUGUCAUGAAUAUUAGUCAUGUAAUAUUUGCCCUUCUCUGCUAACUUUUUUUGUGGGGUAAAUUGCAUGUUUGGUCCUCAAACUAUGAGUCUGGUGAAACUUUGGUCCUCAAUUUUUAAUUUGUUAUAAUUUUUGCUUGAAUUUUAAAAAUUAUUGCAAUUAAGUCCCAAACUUAACUUUGAUGGCCAAGUUUUAAUAGAUUGUUAAUGUAGAAGUGACGUGAAAGUGUUGUGAUUGAGAAUACAUCAAUAGUUAAGAUGCUACAUCCCAUUUACAUUAAUGAUGUAUCAAUAUAUAGUCAACUAAAUUAGGUUGUGGGACUUAAUUGUUGUAAUAAUUUCAAAAGUUUGGGGCACAAUUGCUACAAAUUAAAGUUUGGGACCAAGAUUUCACCCACCUUAUAGUUUGAAAACCAAACGUGCAAUUUGCCCUUUUUCUUAAAAUUAUCAUUUGUGAUGUACCUGAUUUGUAUUUCUCGGACAAAAAAAUUAGUUAUUUCUAUAGCCCUAUUAAGUACGCAUUUAAAGUUGUUUUUUCAUAAAUUUUUAGUAUUUAUUUUUGUCUACAAAAUCAUCACUAAUUUUCAAAGCUUUUACUUCUAAGCUAUUUUUAAGUUGUUUUGCUUAUGCACUAACAUUUUGAUUCUUUUUUUGGCAGAUUAAAUGCGCGACGAGAUCAAUGCACUGAAUUUCUAAGCACUAAAAUCUUUAAGAACUUUCACUACCAAGAAACAAUAAUGGCCGAGGUUGCAAUACUUUUAGCCAUUCAAAAGCUUGGUCUUGCAUUAGGUACAGAACUGCUGAACCAAGCUAGCUCUCUAUUUUCACAACAACUAGCAUCAUUGGCAGAGCUCCCUAAUAGUAUGGAACGCAUGAGCCGUGAACUCCAUGUGAUUCAUGGAUUCCUACUUCACAUCGAUAAGGUAGAUAGAAAAAAUCAAAUCCUAGAAGCAUGGAUAGAGGAGGUACGAAAAGUCGCAUAUACUAUUGAGGAUAUUGCGGAUGAGUAUAUCUAUCUUAUAGUUCAAGAUAAGCAACGACAAGGUGGACUGGUUGGUUAUAUGAAACAAGUGUUGAAGCAACCAAAAUCGUUUAAUAUCUUGCCUCGUAUUGCCUCUCAAAUAAAACAAGUAGAGAACGGCCUUGACCACCUCUCACGCUUAAAAGAUCGAUGGAUUCAAACAACAAGUAUUGGGCAUAGUACUAGUUCAGGUAAUGUGAGCGAAUGGACACAACAUAUGGGAAGCUCUUCUCUUUUCAUGGGUGAGGAACACCUCGUAGGGAUUGAGGAAGACCGAGAUACGUUAACUUAUUGGUUGAAGUCUGAGAAAUUGGAUCUCUGCAUAAUAACAGUGUGGGGUAUGGGCGGGCUCGGAAAAACUACUUUAGUCACCAAUGUUUAUAAAAGAGAGAGUAGAAAUUUUGACUGCUUUGCCUGGAUUUCUAUUUCUCAAACUUUUAAAGCUGAUGUUCUUUUUCGAAAAAUGAUUACUGAACUCUUUGGCGACCAAAAGAUAGUUCCAACUGACAUUGCCACCAUGGAUGAUAGAAAGUUAAGGGAGAAAGUAAAAGAAUUAUUAGGCCAAAAAAAGUAUCUAAUUGUACUAGAUGAUGUAUGGGACCCGCGAGCAUUUUAUGAAUUGCAAGAUUCUCUUGUUGAUGAUCAGAAAGGAAGUAGAAUAUUUAUUACAACCAGAAAUGAAGAAGUAGCAUCACUUGCAAACAAAGACUAUAAGCUUGAACUCAAACCUUUAUCCCCUCGUGAUGCGUGGAAUCUUUUCUGCAAGAGAGCAUUUAGGAACGAAGGAAAUCAAAAAUGUCUUCGGGAGUUAAAAAAAUGUGCAGGCAAAAUCGUGGCCAAGUGCAAAGGGUUGCCACUAGCUAUUGUAUCACUUGGCAAUCUCCUGUGCUUAAGAGAGAAUAGAGAGACUGAAUGGAAGCGAGUUUGUGAUCAGCUUAAUUACGAGCUUGCAAACAACCCAAGUCUCAAUCCCGUGAGAAACAUCUUGAAUUUGAGCUUCGACUGUCUUCCAAGACAUCUAAAGAAUUGCUUCCUCUCUUGCAGCAUGUUCCCAGAGAAUCAUCUUCUUAAAAGAAAAUUGCUUAUCAGGCUAUGGAUAGCAGAGGGUUUUGCAGUAGAAAGAGGAUCAAGCACGGCUGAGGAAGUUGCAGAAGGAUACCUCAUGGAGCUUAUCCGUCAGAGCAUGUUGCAAGUAGAAGAGAAGAACCACUUUGGUAGGGUAAUGUAUUGUCGGAUGCAUAAUCUUGUUCGUGAGCUGGCUGUCUCUUUAUCUGAAAGGGAGAAGUUUCACAGUAUUUAUCAGGAUAACGGGAGGGAAAGGGUGGUCGAUGCUAAUGCCCGUCGCCUGUCUGUUCUCAAAUGCAGCAAUGAUAUUGGAUUCGACAUUGAUCUACCACGGCUACGAACCUUUAUAGCAUUUGACACUACUAUGCCAUCAUCCUCAUUUUUACCUAUGUUUCCAUCCAAAUCAAGGUAUAUUGCAAUUCUGGAACUGCAAGGCUUUCCUAUUGAGAAUAUACCCAAUGCUAUUGGAGACUUAUUCAAUUUGCGAUAUUUGGGUUUAAGAGAUACAAAGGUAAAAUUACUACCAAAAUCCAUUGGCAAGCUUUCCAACUUGUUGAUCUUGGACCUCUGUCGAUCAGCUAUACAAAAGCUGCCUCGUGAGAUCACGAAUCUCAAGAAGUUGCGGCACAUGUUUGUUGAGAGGGUAAAUGACCCGACCGGAAAAGCCUUUCGCUUGCGUAGUGGUGUACGUGCACCAAAGGGUUUGUGGAAUUUAAAAGAAUUGCAAACGUUGCAGGCGGUUGAAGCAAGUAGCGAGUUGGUUGGGCGACUAGGAAAUUUGACCAACCUAAGAAGCUUUAGAAUAUGGAAUGUAAAGGAAACCUACUCUGCACAACUGUGUGCAUCAUUAUCACAGAUGCGUAGUCUUUCCUACUUAAGCAUUAAUGCAAGUGAUGAAAAUGAGUUUCUCAAUUUGAAAGGCCUGAAUCCCCCUCCCACGAAUCUUAAAAAGCUUACUCUAACAGGUAGAUUGGCAGCAGGAACGAUGGAGUGUCCUUUGUUCCAAGAUCUCCGAGAAUUAUGUCUAGUUUGGUGUCAGCUAACUGUGGAUCCACUUCCGUCACUCGCUCACUUAUCAAACCUCACUUACCUACUUCUUCAAGGGGCGUAUAAUGGGCAUCAGUUGUGCUUUCGUGUUCAGUGGUUCCCUAAUUUGAAGCUGCUUCACUUGAUUGACCUGCUGCAACUCGAACGAGUGAUGAUAGAGGAGACAGCCAUGUCAAACUUGGAAACUCUAUAUAUGGAAGACCUCAAAAAACUAAUAGAGGUCCCAGAAGGCAUUGAAUUCCUCACAUCGUUGCGGAAGCUAGUUUUGUAUGAUAUGGAUCCUCGUUUGACCAGUGGUUUAGAAGAAAACGACAAACUUGGACACAUCAGCUCCAUCUAUACUAAGUAGGAAGCACUCGAGGUGCCUUCUUUUCGCCUGGAUUCACUCACAAGUAAGUUUCUGCAUGUUUAAUUCAAUUGUGUGAAUAUCUUGCUCACAAAUUUCACCCCCGUGCGUUCUUUUACAAAGUUCACCAAGUUUUCAUGUUUAAUCCAACACUACUUGCGUACGACACAUAAACUAUGUUAGUAUGCAUAUCUUAUGUCUAAUUUAUUGAUUUUCUCUUCUUUGAUUUGAUUUUUCUUCGUUUUAAUCUCAUUUGGAUCCACAAGCAUAUGAUUAAUAUAUUUUUAUGAACUUAAAUUCCAUAAUAAAAUUCCUAGUUAGGCAAUUGCUAAAACAUUGUUUUUUUCAAUACAGUAUAGUUCUGAUCUCAUAUUUAUUUAGCCAACAUAUAAAUUGCUAGGAACAUAUGGAAGUGCGAGAAAAGAGCGAGAGUAGCGAGAUUAGAAGUGUAGGGAGUGAGGAAGGAGGUCAGGAGAAGUUAAGGAGGAGCCUGUGUCGAGAUAAGGGGAGGAAGAAGCGGAAGUCGAAGAGGCUAGCUUGGGCAGACGAAGUAGGUGGAAAGUUAUUGAAGGUCUUCGACAAUCAUGAUGACGAAGAUGUGGCCUUUCACGCUGCAUACGAGGUAGGUGGAAAGUUAUUGAAGGUCUUCGACGAUCAUGAUGACGAAGAUGUGGCCUUUCAAGCUGCAGACGAGGUAGGUAGAAAGUUAUUGAAGGUCUUCGACGAUCAUGAUGACGAAGAUGUGGCCCUUCACGCUUCCACCAAAGGUGACUCCCGAGGGAAAAAGGUAGGUUUUAAUGAUGACCCCUCCUAGGCGUGCUUAGGGCUUCACCUAAGGGGGCUGGGAGUGGGAGGCCGGCCUUACCUGCUUUCAGCAAAGGAGACCGCCGAGGAAAAAAGCUUGGUUUUAAUGAUGAACACCUUUUGGGUGUGCUUCGGGCUUCGCUAGAGGGUUCGGGGAGCGAGAGGUUGGUUUUACGUGCAUCCAGCAAAGGCAUCCCCCGAGGGGAAAAAGUGGAGGUUAAUGCAGAUCACCCUCCGGGAGUGCUACAGGCUGCGCCUGACGGCUCAAGGAGGGGGAAAAAGACCAGGGGGGAAAGUGGCGACAUUUACUACCCUAAGCUUGCUUCUGGGUCCUAUAAGGAGGCGCUGAUGAGAGCUCCGAGAAAACAGCCUCCUACUAACACUCGCCAAGCUUUUCGUAUAUCUCAUCCUUCUGGCCUCACGGGUUUUCCGAACCGUAGACGAGAGGUGAGGUGCUUCCGGUGUCUCGCGAGAGAUCACAGAGUAGCGGAGUGCCGCGACCCUGUGCGGUGCUCCAGGUGCUGGAAAACGGGACACCGAGCUCGCAGCUGCGGAGGACUAAGGAAGAGAGGUCACUUCGGCAUGAAUAGGGAGGUGCACCGUAGAGCACGAGUACCCCUGCCGAAGGUGUACAUUCCGUACACGGAGGAGUACCUGCGGAGAGUGGAAAUGAGACGGAAUGCCAUCCUUGCGGAUGUGAUCCAGCCGGCUAACCUUGGACCGGAUCCUAUUUCUACCAUCAAGAGUGCCUUGGCGAGUCGGUUCGGGGGGUACAAAGAUGACUUCGCGGUGGCGCGUUGCAGGGAAAGGGAAUACGCAAUAUUCCUACCGGAAUGGGCCCUGGCACCAGCGCUCGUCCGAAGGGAAAUCCUAACCCUCAACAACUUCUGGUUAAGGGUUUACCCCUGGGGUCAGUAUCGCUAUGUUCGUCCACACCCUGCUCGCUUUCGAGCUUGGAUCCGUCUUAUAAAUCUUCCAUUCGAGAUAUGGUCGGUGGCGCGCGUGGCGACGCUAGUCAGUGGUUUUGGACGCUUCAUAAAGGCGGACGGAGUGACCAAGGCGAUGACGGAUUUUCGAGCUUUUCGGUGCCAAAUCAGCCUUGACUCGAUCGGUGCUAUCCCCCAGAACCUAUUGGUCAUUAUCGGCGACGAACUGUUCUCGGUUAUGGUCCAUCUGGAGAGCUAGGAACGGAUAGAGAACGCGGGGAUUCCGGCACCCCCUGCGAACGGGCAGGAGGACGACGGGGCGCUGAUGGGAGACCGGCAAAACAGGCAACCCGAUAUUGGAGGAAACAGAGGAAAUGACCAGACGGACGAAGAGAUGGAAAACGAGGAGGGAGAGCUAGAGGAAGUUGAGCCCGCUCUGUCGACGCAGAGGGGGAGGGGGACCUCAAGGGCUUCUAGGCUGCCCAUGGUUACCGACCUGGCUUCUGCGGCGGCGAGGUUUCGGGCGACGGCGAGGGUCUGCGCGGUGCAGGGACGAGUGGUCUGGGUGGCAACGGGCCGUUCCUGUGCGAGAUUCGAGGCCUCAGGUGAACCCGAAUCGAGGCACGCAAGGAGAGGCGGGCCUUCCAAGACUUGCAGGAUUUUGGACUGUUGGUCCAGUGGGUGUUGGGGAAAGCCUCUCUCUCUCUUUAGCUCUCGUUCUGGGGGCGUAUCUCGGGAGAAAUUCUCUCCUAGCAGGGUGGGUGAGGGGCCCAUUGUAUUUAAUGCUAAUAUGGGAUUUGAUGUGGCCGCAUGUAUUACUGAAACUAAGUGGGAGGGAGGAAGGCAUAGUGCUCGACUAGCGAGACUCUGGAGACUAGCAAUGGGCGUCUGCAGUAUCCCGUUUCGACUUUUGAAUCAGGUGCGGCGCAAGGAGGUACCUUAGUGCUACCUUCCACGGCGGCGGACUUGGUCAUGACGGGGGCAUCAUCGAAUCUCCUCUUGGUCCGUUCCGGCGAAGACAGCCCCCUCCUUAACUUCCGCCGUCGCAGUGAGCGCCUUAAUAGUGUUGACAAGAGCUCGGUCCUGCACAAAGCUAUGUCGUGGAAGGCUAGGCUACUGGAAGGUGAGGGCAGCAGGGUGGUUGACCAUACUGUUCGAAAGGCCAUUCAUAAUAGUCGGUCCUGUGGGGUGAAUCUGGGAGUGGCGAAGGCGGAAAGUUUCGUCGGCUUCGCAGCUUAUUGUGCUUAGGGUGGGACGGUCUGUUGGUUUACUGGUUGACCUUUGGGUCUCUUGGGGUCUUGGGGUUCAGGGUGUCUUAGUGUCUUUUUAGAUGUUUCGUGUUUGUAGUUGGAAUGUUAGAGGGCUUAACGACCCGUCUAAAAGUAACGCCGUUAGGGCGGUGAUCUCUAAGUUAUGUAAUGCGGUAGUGUGUCUUCAGGAGUCUAAAGUGAGUCAUGUUUCGGGAUCCUUUCUGAGAAGCUUUGGUGGUUCGUUUAUCGACAAAUGCGUUUUUGUGGAAUCUAAUGGUGCCUCUGGGGGUUUAAUAUAUUGCUGGAGUUCACGUGUCUUCUCUUGCCAUGAAGUCAUUGUGCGACGAUUUUCCAUUACGACACUGCUGACUCAUGUAGCAUCGCAAGCUAAGUUCUUUGUUACUAAUGUGUAUGGACCCCCCACGUAGGAAGGCAAAGAGGAGUUCUGCUCGGAGGUUGCUCAAUUGAAAGUAUGCUGCACGGGGAAAUGGAUUGUCUGUGGAGACUUUAAUAGUACUAGAGGACAGAACGAGCGGAGGGGGAAAACCUGGAGCCUAAAAGCAACCCACAUAUUCAACGAUCUUAUUAAAGGACUGGCUCUGAUCGAUCUGCCUAUGGUGAACCAAUCCUUCACCUGGUCUAACAUGCAGACGAACCCGACUCUAGCUAGACUCGACCAUUUUCUAGUUUCGACCGAAUGGGAUUUGGAUUAUCUGCUGACCAAGGUUGAAGCCUUACCCAGAGUGACGUCAGAUCAUUACCCUAUUCUGUUGACUACCAAGCGAUCCGAUACGCUGAAGAACAAGAACAAGAUCUUUCGCUUUGAAGAGGCAUGGUUGAACCACGAGGACUUUGUAUCAAAAGUCUUGGACUGGGGGAGGGAGGGGGCUCAGAAGAAAUCGGCUGUACUAGCUUUCGCCGAGAAACUUAGACACUGUAGAACAAGAAUUAAAGAGUGAUGUACGAACGAAUUUUACAGCAUCCGUGGACUUAAAUCUAAAAUUAUGGGAGAGAUCCAGGAAAUCGAUGGCUGUGAAGAACUGCGGGAGCUAUCACAAGACCAGUACUCGAAAAGAGAGGAGCUCAAAGAUAAACUUCGGAAGGUCUUAAACGACGAGGCGGACCUGUGGAGAAUCCGGGCCAAACAGCACUGGCUGCAGGAGGGGGACGGAAACACUAAAUUUUUUCAUUCCAUAGCAAACGAAAGGAAAAGAACAAAUGGUAUUGGUACGAUUAAGGACAACGGAGGUGUGUACCAAUCAGACGACGAAAAGAGGAACUAUUUUUAUCGCAAAUUUAAGGAGCUCUUCACGUCGGAUGCGACGACCCCGACUUCCUUUGGGGAUUGGAGCGGCCUCUUCACCACGAACCGCGUGUCCAAACCCAAUAUAGCCCGUCUGACCGAACCAUUUAGUACCGCAGAAAUUAAGGAAGCAAUAUUCCAACUAGGGAGCGACAAGGCGCCAGGUCCGGAUGCAUUUCCGCUAAGGUUUUAUCAACUCUUUUGGGAUUCUUUAGAAGGGGAUAUAUCGGCGCUCUUCCGCGACAUGCAUGAGGGAAGACUUACCACUGACCCUAUUGACUACUCGUUCAUCUGUCUCAUUCCCAAAAAAGAGGGGGCGGAGCGGGCGAGCGAAUUCCGGCCUAUAAGCUUACUUAACGGUAUCCAGAAAAUCCUGUCGAAGGUCUUGGCUAACCGGCUGGAACCGAUUAUGGAUGACCUUAUUUCCCCUUCCCAGUCGGCAUUCCUGAAGGGGAGGAGCAUAUCUGACGCCUUCGUUGCAGCAUCUGAAUUACUUGGCUGGGGAUGUAAGAAGGCUAUCGAAGUGGUCGGGUUGAAGGUGGACUUCAAAAAAGCUUACGAUCGGAUCAGUUGGCCUUUUCUAUUCCAAAUUCUAGACUGGUUCGGCUUUGACACUAAAUGGAUCGAUUGGAUCAAGCUUUGUGUGUGCUCGGCAAAAGUAGCGGUCUUGGUUAACGGAGCGCCAACUAAGUGGAUUAAGACAAAAAGAGGGGUUAGGCAAGGGGACCCUCUAUCCCCCUUUCUUUUCUUGCUAGUGGCUGAGUGUUUGGCCAGGAUGACGACUGUAACAUUUAAUAACAAUCUACUCAAGGGCUUGGGUCCAUCCGAGGCGAGUAGGAUAUCCAUCAUCCAGUUCGCGGACGACACUUUCUUCUUCUGCGAAGCUAAAAAAAGGUAUAUUAGAAAUUUGAAGUUCUUGUGGCAGCUGUUCAAAUGGGCCACUGGAAUGAAGGUCAAUAAGGAGAAGUCAGAACUGUUCUAUACGUGACGAUUUGAAGGAAAGGCAAGAAGCCUGGCGGACUUACUUGAGUGUAGUGUGGGUACCCUCCCUACCAAGUAUCUUGGUCUUCCACUAUCUAGUAGAGCUCCUUCGAAGGCGGACUGGAUGGGAGUAAUCCACAAAAUCCAAAGUAGAAUCGACGGAUGGCAAGCUAAACUUCUCUCCAGAGGAGGUAGACUGGUGCUGGUGAAUGCGGUCUUAACCAACAUACCUCUAUUUUACUUGUCUACCUUCAAGGAGCCCAAAUGGGUGAUCAAACGCAUUGAGGCACUUCAGAGAGACUUCUUUUGGAAAGGUAGUAGCCACACCCCAGGCAAGGGUAGCCUGAUUGCCUGGAAAAACGUCUGUAUAAGCAAGAAAGAAGGAGGGCUCGGUAUCUUGGACCUAGCCGUUAUGAAUCAAGCGCUACUUGCCAAAUGGUGGUGGAAGUUCCACACAGCACCUCAGCUACAGUGGAGCAAGAUUAUCCGCGAUCUAUAUUACCGCAAAAGAAGACCAUUAAAGGAGGGAAGAUCCUUUAGGCCCCGGUCACACUGGUGGAAAGGUGUCCUAUGUCACUCCGAUAUCUUCAAAUGGGGAGUAUACUAUAAAUUGGGGAAUGGAAGCACUAUUGAUUUUUGGUUGGAUAGAUGGUGUGGGGAGAAGACCCUGCAGCUGGCCUACCCAGAGGUGUAUGAUACGGCAGAAUGCAAGACUGUUAAAGUUAAGGAUUGUUUGGGAAGCGGUGGGUGGAACUGGAAUAUGAUUCUAGGAGGCGAAGGCGUAGGUAAUCAGGUUUUGAGCCCCACCUGGUCAGAAUUUUAGGAU